RNAcentral lists this long non-coding RNA (77342 nucleotides) under Triticum aestivum (bread wheat). Its description in RNAcentral is "long non-coding RNA (TAES_LNC013953)". The record is from RNAcentral. Lineage: Eukaryota; Viridiplantae; Streptophyta; Magnoliopsida; Poales; Poaceae.
ACGAUUCUUCUUGUGGCUUUUCCAUAUCUCAAUCAAACCCUCACAAUCUGUUUUCAGGUGAACAUUUGUUUAAUAAUCUCUAAUGGGUUUAAACUUUUUACUGUCGACUAUACUAAAAAAAUCAUCAUUUGACAGAAUAAAAACAUGACUCAACCGAAUAGCAUUUUCAUAAUGUACAUGAACAAUACUUACUGGAACAUUCGAGACUUUCAUGGGGAUAUAAAGCUACUUUUGGUCAUCCAUCAAGCGGAGCUGAAAGAGAACAGAGAUGGCUUCAAAAGUUCAAAUCCUUUACAGAAGGUGCUCCAAGAUUCUUCCUGAACUUGUUGUGGCUAUCAUUGGGACGCCUCACCACCUUUAGUAAAUAAAAAAUAUGCAUAUAUAUGCAGAGUAAGAAGAUGGAUUUUGUUCAUCGAUCUUACCUAUAAAGCAAUCAUCAACAUACAAAACAAAGGCAAAUAUAGCAUGAUUUUUUCUAAUCACAGGGAGCAAUCAGCCUACCAACACAGGCACAUAUCUAUGAAUUUUCAAAAUGCAUACACCAAACAUACUACAAACACCAGUACAUAAUUUAGUAAUUUCCUUACUGCAGAGAUCAACCAGCCUGAAAACAUAGGCUCUCGUAUAGUAAAAAUUAUCUAAAUACAGGGAGCAAACAGUCUGCAACCACCAGUACAUAAAUCAGAAAUCUUUUCACUACAGAGAGUAAUUAGCCUGCAUCCGUACUUUCAGAGACUACAGGCGCCUGAAUUUUGUGAAUGCAGAGAACAAAUCAGUGUGCAAACACAGGCACAUACAGCAGGAAAUUUAUUAAUGCAGACAGCAACCCGCACUUGCUCUAACUGCAUGAUAUAUUCAGUCAUUUCUACUUCCAUUUUCUAAGUCACAGAAUAUCGGAUGGAAGGCAAAGUUUCUACUUCACCAACCUUUUGUUCCACCCCGGUGCUUGGGGAUUCAUCUUCCCCGUCGACAGCUCCGACCUUGGUGGCGAGCUCUCCCUUCUGUUCGCCGCCGCCUCCUUUGCCAAGAAGAUUUGUGCUUCGCCGCUGUCCACCGCCGUUGCGCUGCCUCCCGCUCCGCCUGCAAUGCCACUUGCAGAUCCGCCAUGGCAGAGACAUUGACAACCACAGGAACCGGCUCCCCUACCUCCUCAAGCAGACUAAAUCUGAAUCUUGCAACAAAUCCAUCUCUAGAUCAGCUAACAAGAGGGCUACAAAAUGGAGGCAACAUCCCUGGAAAAAGCAAAGAUCCAUGCACCUGCUAAUUAGUUGCACCAGAAACUCCAUGGCGGCACGCCGGCGACGCCAGUUGCUUCCGUCCCCGGGUCUUUAGCUUCCAAAUGACACACGCCGUAGCCGAGAAGAAUCUCGGUCCUGCCCUCAAUUCGUUUCUGCUGCAAUCACUACACGGAAAGCCCAUUUCCUGGUCCACGGAUCAGACGGGGAUGCGGGCUCUGAUCCACACGGCUCACCACGCGAGACCGACGGCCGUACGCACUAUCCUCAGAUCCGUCAAACCUGCCCUGCAGUAAUGGCCCACCACCCAGCGCUGCCGCAUACGUAUUUCGCUACAGCACUCGAUUUUCUCGCGAACCGCCUGGGCGCGUAUAGAACUCUGGCACAGAUCCACGAGCGCUAACUGACGACGUAGAUAACGAGCUCAUUUGAGCUCGAGCGCAAUUAGUCCGCGUCCAUUAACACAAGUGAAAAUUGAAUAGGCUCUUCGUCUGAAUGGAAAUCCAAGUCGUUUGCUUUAGAACAUAAUUUAUAUCUGAUACCAUCCAUGUAUUCUUGGAGUGCAGUAAGAAAAAAAAUGCUUCUAAAAUCCAAUGGCCCAAUUGAUUUUGUAUCAUAUAUAGUGGUAGGAUCCAAGUGACCACCAAACUGCCAACCACUACAGGAUAUCCAAUUAUCCAUACCGAAUAUCAAAAGUUGAUCCAGCAAGUGAAAGGAAUUGGAAGUUUAAUAAUGGUACUCUAUCUAUUUUUUUUUCAGAAACACAUAUCAUCUGAGACAAGAAAUUGUUGAAGAAUGAUAACUGCUAACGAAUUGCCGUACAUUUUUUUGAAAAAAAGAACUGUUGUAGAGAAACCAACAGAUGCACUCACUCAAAUAUGGAGCAGCUCAUCUUCACGGUAAAAUUUUAAGCUCUUUAUAGUUUAUUAACAUUCAAAUUAUGCAAUACCUGCAGGAAAGGGCAAAUGAUUACCUCGAACAUGAAUGGGGAAAUGAUGUCGUAAAUUAUUUCCCAUAUAUAUAAAUAGCAUUAACUCGUUCUUUACUCUGCGGUUUUUCUUUUCCCUUGCUCUGCUAGCUGGGCUUAUACUUCAGUUCUGAUGAAGAAUUUCAGUUUUGAGAAUCAAUGCAUAUAUACAUCAAAUAGCAUUAAGAGAAAACAUCAUACCUUCACCCUUACCAUUCCUACCAAGUGAGACAUCCGCCUAAAUUGUCAGACCUGAAAGUUAUAGAAUUAAAAUGACCUUUUUUAGGGGUGAACUAACAUGAAUUGAUUUGUGUAAAGAAAAUACAUUCAACUCCCAUCUGCGCCGUCCUCACGUUGUAGUAAACCACCUAGGCACCUACGAAAAAGGCAAUCAUCUCCGUCGUUUCUAUCUCUAUGUAUACACCGUUGCCAUAGAGCUAGUGUUUCGAGGCUCGUGGUCGUUAUCCUUCCCGAAUCCACCUUGCCCCCAUAGGCCACCAUGGCUGAUUGGUUGAACAAAAAUGCUGCACUUACUGGCAUAAGAGGGAGGGACUUGCCUCGUGUGUACCAUCUUUUCAUGCGUUUGCCUUCUGAAGCGAGCACGAUGGUAACUGGCAAGGAUGGAAGGGGGGCUAUAUAGGAGAUUGCAAUCGCAUGAAGGGAAGCCAGCGUGAAACUCCCACCCAACACCAGGAAAGAGGAGUUUGCGGAGAAGACGGGGUGGUGGGCUCUAGGGUACGGAGGAGAGAUAAAUAGGCUCGUCAAGGGAGGAGGAGGUGGAAGGGCAGUAACGUACACCGCGGCACCUCCACGGACAUUAAACGCAACACCGCGGCGCUUGAAGCAUUGUUGCCUCGCUCGCUCGUUCGAUGAAGCCUCUUCAUCUCCGUGUAACCUUGGCAUCCGAGCGAGUUUUUUUAACCUUGGCCUCCGAACGAGGAGGCCAGUGCCGGUGUUUAUUUCCAUGGGCAAAUGCACCUUCGGUCACACACCACAGUCCAUUUGGCCCAAAACCACAGGGGGCAUCCGAAGUUGUUUCUAGAGCAGCGGCCCAGUCCCAUUAGGCGCUCGGUGCUGAAUGUACAAAUCCAGUAUGAGGGAUUUAACGGCCACGAACAUCCAAAUCGCAAAUCCAACGGUUCGCAACACUAAUGGCCUGAGAGGGCUCGAUUAGUGCGCAACUUUAAUGUUUCUAAAUAAUUGACGGAUACCACUUCACACGAGUCCUGAUGGACGGUGGCAGCAGUCUAAACCUGAUAUACCAGGAUGCAAUCCACGAAAUGGGGAUAGAUCCAACAAAAAAUUGCCAUAGCAAUACUACCUUUAAAGGAGUAACGCCAGGCCCAAGGGCUCACUGCAUAGGCUCCCUGCUACUAAAGGUUAUAAUCGGCUUUCCCGAUAACUUCCGUAACGAACAUUUAACCUUCCGCAUCGCUCCGUUCCAAAUUGGCUAUCAAGCACUAAUCGGACGCGAAUCUUUCGCUCGCUUUAAUGUAAUACCGCACUACGCUUCCCUCACACUCAAGAUGCCCGGCCCACGUGGCAUCGUUACAGUGAACGGAAGUAUUAAGCGAUCUUUGCGCGCCGAAGAGAGUGGCAGCCGCACACUAAAAACGGCCUCACCAACUAAAGCAUUUAACAGGUCGUCAAGACCUCGGACACAGUUAGACGAGUCCGGCGCAGCUAUAUGUAAUUCAUACCGGAUCAAUGGUCACACCCCUAUUACAAAUACAAGGGGCUCAACGCGCGCAGACAAGUGGCAAUUUUUACUCAUCUUGAAUUAUACAUGGUUUCUUUAAAAACUAUCUUUUUGCACGACAACUUUUUCACCUAAGUUCCCCUCUUUUAUAGAUGAUCAUCGUGCUACACCCGUCCAGGAUACGGCACAAUGGAGACACAGACGCAGACGUGCAGCAGGGACCCGCUCCAAGGAUUCUUUUUAGAUUAAGACCCUGCGUAAACCUUUUUUACUGUCUCUUGUUGAUACACAUCCACCGAAUUCUCAGCACAGUUGAGAAUGAUGCUGACGUCUUGGCAUGUGGCCACGUCAGAAUAAUGCACGUACCUGGACACAAGGGGCUUCUUACAAAGAGCACUAUUUAUGCCCGGUUUAUACCAUAAAGACCGAAUACCUUAGGGAGUGUUCGGCGUCUCGAGUUUGGCCUUAUAUGCAUCAGCUCCGAAUCAUUGUCUCUGGUCAAAUGUUGUGUUUGUCCGGCUCCUGUGUUUUGGUGCCUUAUGUUCCGCUUUAUCGGCUAAGGUAGCACCAGGAGAAUUACUGCGAUUGUGCCCUGGUUCUUCCGGACGAGCACCUUAGUAGAGAAAGCCGAAAACUAACUGUCAUGAUAUAGCGUGAGACUGGUCAACCACUCGAUGACCUAUCGGAAUGUUAGAAUUCCUCCGCCUUAACGAAGGGCCGUUUUCCGGCCAGGCAUGUACGCACCUCGCGAUCGAGAGAGUGCGGAGCCACCAGGGGCUAUCUAGUAGCCCCACUGUCAAAUUCCUAUGUCUAAGUGAAAGUGUUAAAGCAUUAUAGUCCGGUUGCCUCGUUCGCUACGCUAUCACCUCCUUAAUAGGACCAAGACGUUGGGUUAAGUGUGAACACACGUUUUUCGCGAGCACCUCUGCAUUAUAUGCGUGGGGGUUGAAGCCGACGGCUGCAAUCUUCCAGGUUGUACACAUGUAUACAUAAACGGCCGCACAUGAGGCAUCGCACUACUUUCAGGCAAAAGUAUAAACAUAGCCUUAUAAAACUUCAUAAAAGCAUUAUGUUUACAAUGAGAAUACAUAUCACUCAAACAUAAUAUCCUUCGAGCACCGGGCCUCUAUCAAACGAGCACCCUCGAGAACCUCCUCGAAAUAGUGCUCGGCAGCCACUCGGCCUAUGGCCGAACCCUGCACCGCAACAGUGGUAGCGUCCAUCUCCGCCCAGUAUGCUUUAACACGGGCAAGGGCCAUCCGCGAGCCUUCUAUGCACGCCGACCUCUUCAUCACAUUAAUGCGCGACAGCGCACCAAGGAACUGCUGCACUAAGCUGAAAUAGCUGUUCGGCUUUGGCUUUUCCGGCCAUAGAUGAUCCACAACAUACCUCAUGGCGAGUCCGGACAACCUAUUCAGUUCGGCCCAUUCGGCUAGCUGGUCAGUCAAUGAAAGCGGACACUCUGGAACGUUGAAUUGCGACCAGAACAGCUUGUCCACUUCACGAUCUGUCUGGCCUUGGAAGUACUUGGCCGCAUCGGCAACGCUCGCUGCCAAAUCCAUAUAUGCAUCUGCCGAACUCCAUAGCCGAUUCAGAGGGGCAUACCGUGGAUCUUCGAACUUCCUUCGUAACAUGAAGGGUUUCCCAGCCGCAAUAUCCCCGGCUUCUCGCAGCUCCUCCUUCUUCGCUCUCAUAGCAGAACGGGUGUCUUUUCCGCCAUCGUGGCCUUCUCAAGGUCCAUUGCCUUCGCUCGGUUUUCUUUUUCAAGGACCCGGCAACGGUCGGCAGUGUCUUUUAAUUCUAUGGCCAUCUUGGCCAUCUUCUCUUGGCUUUCGCAAUGUGCGGCCUUCUCGGCUUUCAACUCUUAGGCCGCCUUCAAAGCAGUCGCAUUACUAAUCCUCGCUUGUUCCUUGGCUCGGGCAAGUUUUGCCCGCAAGGUUUUCACGGUGGCAGCUCCAUCUGCAGUCACAACAUAUUAAAGAUAAUGGCAUCAUGCUGCUCUUACUAUGUGGCGUUCACCAGAUAAUAACACUUACCCCGUGCCUCCUCAAGCCUCUUGUUAACAAGGUCGAUGUCGUCGUCUGCCGCAUCCAGUUGCCAUUUUAAUUUGGCAAACUCACUAGUCCGGCUAGCCACCGGAGCUUCCAUCACCUGCACAUAGGGGCAGUCUGGUUAUUGCCUGGGAAUAUGAUCCUCUGUUCGCCGCCGUUCUCGACGACAACCAGAGUCUCAGGGGCUACUAUCUACACAGGGCACACCUAACAUGUGCAGUACUAUCACAUAUUAUCUCACGUACCUCAAAGCCUGUCAGUAGACUCAUAAAGGCUUCAUGUAAUCCGCUUUCGGCAUACAAAAUUCUCUCCAUCACCGUAUCCAUCAGCGUACGGUGUUCUUCUGAGAUGGCCGCUCGCCCCACCAACUCCCUCAGAACGUCCGACCGCAUACCAGACGGUGCUGGACUCUUUUGUCUGCUCUCUUGGGGAGCCAGACGCUGGGGACUUUGGGGGUCUAUGGGAUUAUCUUCUGGCCUCACCGAUCCGGAGAGGCCCUCCGUGACGACACUUUGGGGUCGCCCACUUCUUGAGCGGAGGAGGCCGGGGGAGGCGUUUCGCUCUCCAUCAUCUCUGGAAGAAGAUCCCUCGAAGACGAGCUCAGCUGAGAGGGGCUAAGGCCCGAACUGCAAGAUAUAUGCGGUGGUUAUUUUCUCAGAAAAAGAUAGCAUACCUUUACUAUUAAAGUAUUUUGGAUCACUUAUGACUCGUUGGAGGGCUGAUCCCCCCACAGACUUUGUGCGGAAAAAGCACCCCCCGAGGCAGGACCCUCUGUGGGAGACUUCUUCUCCCGUUUGGAGGCUUCGGCUUCUGGAUCCUCGGAAGUAGUCCUUUUCCUCCCCCGGUUAUCCUCCUUCAUGGAGACUCUCAUUCCCUCGGUUGGAACGGGCAGCGAUGGGGGCCCGCGUCUGCCCAUAUUAUCCCCCCCGUAUCUUCCUUCGAGGGCUCCGGGCAAGGUGCGACCUCGAGCAUCUUUUCCAAUACCGGAAUUUCCAAACCCUCAGGGAGGGGGACAAACACCGAAUCAUCUUCGCCUUUGUUAGCCAGUCCUAGUCAAAAAGCAAACUCUCAGAAAUAACUUCAUGACGAAUAAAAGACAGUGUGUUCGGCCAGAGGAUUUCUUACUUGUUCGGCGGCGCAGUUACUGCUCAGGCCCACGUCCCCGGUAAUAUCCGGACACUCUACUUGAGGUCUGAAGAAUGACUUGUACAUCUCCUUGUGCAUCAGGCCGAGGAAACUAUGAAUGGCACAUGGUCCCUCUGGGUUGAACUCCCACAAGCGAAGGGGCCGGCGUUUGCAAGGCUAGACUUGACGAACCAGCAUAACUUGUAUUACCACAACCAAAUUAAAAUCUCCCUCGAAGAGAUCUCGGAUGCGGCUUUGCAGUAUAGGCACGUCCUUGGCUGGACCCCAGCUCAGACCUUUGCUAAUCCAUGACAUCAGUUGUGGUGGGGGGCCUGAGUAGAAAGCGGGGGCAACCGCCCACUUGGCACUUCUAGGAGCCGUGACGUAAAACCACUCCUGUUGCCAUAAUUCGGACACCUCUGGAAAGGAACCUUUCGGCCAUGGAGCUCCUGCCAUCUUGCCUAUUGAUGCACCUCCGCACGCUGCAUGUUGCCCCUCGAUCAUCUUCGGCUUUACUUCAAAAGUCUUGAGCCACAGGCCGAAGUGAGGGGUAACACGGAGGAAGGCCUCACACACGACAAUAAAUGUUGAGAUGUGGAGAAAGGAGUCCGGAGCUAGAUCGUGGAAAUCUAGCCCGUAAUAGAACAUCAAACCCCUGAUGAAGGGAUCCAGAGUGAGGCCUAGACCUCGGAGGAAGUGGGAGACGAACACGACGCUCUCAUUGGGUUUGGGAGUAGGGACGAUCUGCCAUCGAGCAGGCAGCCGAUGCGAAACCUCGGCGGUCAGGUGUCUGGCCUCCCUCAACUUCUUAAUGUCCUCUUCCGUAAUGGAGGAGGGCAUCCAUCGGCCUUGAAGGCUGGAUCCGGACAUGAUUGAAGAUCCGGAGCACCUAACCUGGGCUUUGGGUGUUAGAACUCGAGGCGGGGGAAGGGUUCGAUUGAACACAAGGGGGGAAAAGCAAAAACCGUGUCCCUUUAUAAAAAGGGUGAAUAUCAAGCGUACUCUCCGUAGCCGUUUAGGACUUGCCUAUAAUCUAGGAGUCCUAGACACGGUUGGGUUACCCACGACCGCAUUAAUGAGAAUCCCGUAAUUGGGGGAACACGAUCUCCGCUUCAACAAGACGUGUCAAGAAACCGCCUCGCGUUAUGUGUGGAGCUGGUUAAAAGAAACGGUUCGAAUAAUCACCGGGCCAUGACAUAACGUCAUGCAGCCAAAACAAGCCAGCAAAUUAGAUUUGCGAAAAUAUUAUUCUCUCUACGGUGGAAUGUGGAACUUAUUUUGCAGGGUCAGACACUAUCCUUGUAUUCAAAUUCUUCUGUGAUGUAUUCGGAGAAGGAACCCGCCUUGCAAUGCCGAAGACAAUACUGCGCGCCGGACUCAUCGUCAUUGAAGCCUGGUUCAGGGGCUACUGAGGGAGUCCUGGAUUAGGGGGUCUCCGGACAGCCGGACUAUCUCCAUUGGCCGGACUGUUAGACUAUGAAGAUACAAGAUUGAAGACUUCGUCUCGUGUCCGGAUGGGACUCUACUUGGCGUAGAAGGCAAGCUAGGCAAUAUAGAUAUGGAUAUCUCCUCCUUUGUAACCAACCUUGUGUAACCCUAACCCUCUCCGGUGUCUAUAUAAACCGAAGGGUUUUAGUCCGUAGGACAACAACCACAACAUACAAUCAUAUCAUAGGCUAGCUUCUAGGGUUUAGCCUCUCUGAUCUCGUGGUAGAUCUACUCUUGUACUACCCAUAUCAUCAAUAUCAAUCAAGCAGGACGUAGGGUUUUACCUCCAUCAAGAGGGCCCGAACCUGGGUAGAACAUCGUGUCCCCUGCCUCCUGUUACCAUCCGGCCUAGAUGCACAGUUUGGGACCCCCUAGCCGAGAUCCUCCGGUUUUGAUACCGACAGAGAGUGAGAAUUUUGGGUUAAGUGGACGUAGCAGUAGCGCGUUUAGACAAAACGCGCUACUACUAUUAAAGUCAGCUAUAGCGGUUUUAUACAGAAACUGCUACUGCUACCUUGACCAGCUGUAGCUCUUUUUCAGUAAAGCGCUACUGCUAUAACCAGUUUCCCUUUUUCUUUUCCUUUAUUUUUCUCACUUUUUUUCCGAGAGUAGCGAACGAAGGGAAGGCGAUAUAUAUUGCAUCAUUUGACGGUUAAAUAUGUAUGCAAAAUAGGAACAUAUAUAUUACAUCAUUGGACCCAUGCAUAAUAAUGGCUAAGUUUGUAUACAAAAUAGGAACAUAUAUAUAUAUAUACACACAUCAUUUGACCGAUUCCUCAANNNNNNNNNNNNNNNNNNNNNNNNNNNNNNNNNNNNNNNNNNNNNNNNNNNNNNNNNNNNNNNNNNNNNNNNNNNNNNNNNNNNNNNNNNNNNNNNNNNNGAAUUGCCGUACAUUUUUUUGAAAAAAAGAACUGUUGUAGAGAAACCAACAGAUGCACUCACUCAAAUAUGGAGCAGCUCAUCUUCACGGUAAAAUUUUAAGCUCUUUAUAGUUUAUUAACAUUCAAAUUAUGCAAUACCUGCAGGAAAGGGCAAAUGAUUACCUCGAACAUGAAUGGGGAAAUGAUGUCGUAAAUUAUUUCCCAUAUAUAUAAAUAGCAUUAACUCGUUCUUUACUCUGCGGUUUUUCUUUUCCCUUGCUCUGCUAGCUGGGCUUAUACUUCAGUUCUGAUGAAGAAUUUCAGUUUUGAGAAUCAAUGCAUAUAUACAUCAAAUAGCAUUAAGAGAAAACAUCAUACCUUCACCCUUACCAUUCCUACCAAGUGAGACAUCCGCCUAAAUUGUCAGACCUGAAAGUUAUAGAAUUAAAAUGACCUUUUUUAGGGGUGAACUAACAUGAAUUGAUUUGUGUAAAGAAAAUACAUUCAACUCCCAUCUGCGCCGUCCUCACGUUGUAGUAAACCACCUAGGCACCUACGAAAAAGGCAAUCAUCUCCGUCGUUUCUAUCUCUAUGUAUACACCGUUGCCAUAGAGCUAGUGUUUCGAGGCUCGUGGUCGUUAUCCUUCCCGAAUCCACCUUGCCCCCAUAGGCCACCAUGGCUGAUUGGUUGAACAAAAAUGCUGCACUUACUGGCAUAAGAGGGAGGGACUUGCCUCGUGUGUACCAUCUUUUCAUGCGUUUGCCUUCUGAAGCGAGCACGAUGGUAACUGGCAAGGAUGGAAGGGGGGCUAUAUAGGAGAUUGCAAUCGCAUGAAGGGAAGCCAGCGUGAAACUCCCACCCAACACCAGGAAAGAGGAGUUUGCGGAGAAGACGGGGUGGUGGGCUCUAGGGUACGGAGGAGAGAUAAAUAGGCUCGUCAAGGGAGGAGGAGGUGGAAGGGCAGUAACGUACACCGCGGCACCUCCACGGACAUUAAACGCAACACCGCGGCGCUUGAAGCAUUGUUGCCUCGCUCGCUCGUUCGAUGAAGCCUCUUCAUCUCCGUGUAACCUUGGCAUCCGAGCGAGUUUUUUUAACCUUGGCCUCCGAACGAGGAGGCCAGUGCCGGUGUUUAUUUCCAUGGGCAAAUGCACCUUCGGUCACACACCACAGUCCAUUUGGCCCAAAACCACAGGGGGCAUCCGAAGUUGUUUCUAGAGCAGCGGCCCAGUCCCAUUAGGCGCUCGGUGCUGAAUGUACAAAUCCAGUACGAGGGAUUUAACGGCCACGAACAUCCAAAUCGCAAAUCCAACGGUUCGCAACACUAAUGGCCUGAGAGGGCUCGAUUAGUGCGCAACUUUAAUGUUUCUAAAUAAUUGACGGAUACCACUUCACACGAGUCCUGAUGGACGGUGGCAGCAGUCUAAACCUGAUAUACCAGGAUACAAUCCACGAAAUGGGGAUAGAUCCAACAAAAAAUUGCCAUAGCAAUACUACCUUUAAAGGAGUAACGCCAGGCCCAAGGGCUCACUGCAUAGGCUCCCUGCUACUAAAGGUUAUAAUCGGCUUUCCCGAUAACUUCCGUAACGAACAUUUAACCUUCCGCAUCGCUCCGUUCCAAAUUGGCUAUCAAGCACUAAUCGGACGCGAAUCUUUCGCUCGCUUUAAUGUAAUACCGCACUACGCUUCCCUCACACUCAAGAUGCCCGGCCCACGUGGCAUCGUUACAGUGAACGGAAGUAUUAAGCGAUCUUUGCGCGCCGAAGAGAGUGGCAGCCGCACACUAAAAACGGCCUCACCAACUAAAGCAUUUAACAGGUCGUCAAGACCUCGGACACAGUUAGACGAGUCCGGCGCAGCUAUAUGUAAUUCAUACCGGAUCAAUGGUCACACCCCUAUUACAAAUACAAGGGGCUCAACGCGCGCAGACAAGUGGCAAUUUUUACUCAUCUUGAAUUAUACAUGGUUUCUUUAAAAACUAUCUUUUUGCACGACAACUUUUUCACCUAAGUUCCCCUCUUUUAUAGAUGAUCAUCGUGCUACACCCGUCCAGGAUACGGCACAAUGGAGACACAGACGCAGACGUGCAGCAGGGACCCGCUCCAAGGAUUCUUUUUAGAUUAAGACCCUGCGUAAACCUUUUUUACUGUCUCUUGUUGAUACACAUCCACCGAAUUCUCAGCACAGUUGAGAAUGAUGCUGACGUCUUGGCAUGUGGCCACGUCAGAAUAAUGCACGUACCUGGACACAAGGGGCUUCUUACAAAGAGCACUAUUUAUGCCCGGUUUAUACCAUAAAGACCGAAUACCUUAGGGAGUGUUCGGCGUCUCGAGUUUGGCCUUAUAUGCAUCAGCUCCGAAUCAUUGUCUCUGGUCAAAUGUUGUGUUUGUCCGGCUCCUGUGUUUUGGUGCCUUAUGUUCCGCUUUAUCGGCUAAGGUAGCACCAGGAGAAUUACUGCGAUUGUGCCCUGGUUCUUCCGGACGAGCACCUUAGUAGAGAAAGCCGAAAACUAACUGUCAUGAUAUAGCGUGAGACUGGUCAACCACUCGAUGACCUAUCGGAAUGUUAGAAUUCCUCCGCCUUAACGAAGGGCCGUUUUCCGGCCAGGCAUGUACGCACCUCGCGAUCGAGAGAGUGCGGAGCCACCAGGGGCUAUCUAGUAGCCCCACUGUCAAAUUCCUAUGUCUAAGUGAAAGUGUUAAAGCAUUAUAGUCUGGUUGCCUCGUUCGCUACGCUAUCACCUCCUUAAUAGGACCAAGACGUUGGGUUAAGUGUGAACACACGUUUUUCGCGAGCACCUCUGCAUUAUAUGCGUGGGGGUUGAAGCCGACGGCUGCAAUCUUCCAGGUUGUACACAUGUAUACAUAAACGGCCGCACAUGAGGCAUCGCACUACUUUCAGGCAAAAGUAUAAACAUAGCCUUAUAAAACUUCAUAAAAGCAUUAUGUUUACAAUGAGAAUACAUAUCACUCAAACAUAAUAUCCUUCGAGCACCGGGCCUCUAUCAAACGAGCACCCUUGAGAACCUCCUCGAAAUAGUGCUCGGCAGCCACUCGGCCUAUGGCCGAACCCUGCACCGCAACAGUGGUAGCGUCCAUCUCCGCCCAGUAUGCUUUAACACGGGCAAGGGCCAUCCGCGAGCCUUCUAUGCACGCCGACCUCUUCAUCACAUUAAUGCGCGACACCGCACCAAGGAACUGCUGCACUAAGCUGAAAUAGCUGUUCGGCUUUGGCUUUUCCGGCCAUAGAUGAUCCACAACAUACCUCAUGGCGAGUCCGGACAACCUAUUCAGUUCGGCCCAUUCGGCUAGCUGGUCAGUCAAUGAAAGCGGACACUCUGGAACGUUGAAUUGCGACCAGAACAGCUUGUCCACUUCACGAUCUGUCUGGCCUUGGAAGUACUUGGCCGCAUCGGCAGCGCUCGCUGCCAAAUCCAUAUAUGCAUCUGCCGAACUCCACAGCCGAUUCAGAGGGGCAUACCGUGGAUCUUCGAACUUCCUUCGUAACAUGAAGGGUUUCCCAGCCGCAAUAUCCCCGGCUUCUCGCAGCUCCUCCUUCUUCGCUCUCAUAGCAGAACGGGUGUCUUUUCCGCCAUCGUGGCCUUCUCAAGGUCCAUUGCCUUCGCUCGGUUUUCUCUUUCAAGGACCCGGCAACGGUCGGCAGUGUCUUUUAAUUCUAUGGCCAUCUUGGCCAUCUUCUCUUGGCUUUCGCAAUGUGCGGCCUUCUCGGCUUUCAACUCUUAGGCCGCCUUCAAAGCAGUCGCAUUACUAAUCCUCGCUUGUUCCUUGGCUCGGGCAAGUUUUGCCCGCAAGGUUUCCACGGUGGCAGCUCCAUCUGCAGUCACAACAUAUUAAAGAUAAUGGCAUCAUGCUGCUCUUACUAUGUGGCGUUCACCAGAUAAUAACACUUACCCCGUGCCUCCUCAAGCCUCUUGUUAACAAGGUCGAUGUCGUCGUCUGCCGCAUCCAGUUGCCGUUUUAAUUUGGCAAACUCACUAGUCCGGCUAGCCACCGGAGCUUCCAUCACCUGCACAUAGGGGCAGUCUGGUUAUUGCCUGGGAAUAUGAUCCUCUGUUCGCCGCCGUUCUCGACGACAACCAGAGUCUCAGGGGCUACUAUCUACACAGGGCACACCUAACAUGUGCAGUACUAUCACAUAUUAUCUCACGUACCUCAAAGCCUGUCAGUAGACUCAUAAAGGCUUCAUGUAAUCCGCUUUCGGCAUACAAAAUUCUCUCCAUCACCGUAUCCAUCAGCGUACGGUGUUCUUCUGAGAUGGCNNNNNNNNNNNNNNNNNNNNNNNNNNNNNNNNNNNNNNNNNNNNNNNNNNNNNNNNNNNNNNNNNNNNNNNNNNNNNNNNNNNNNNNNNNNNNNNNNNNNNNNNNNNNNNNNNNNNNNNNNNNNNNNNNNNNNNNNNNNNNNNNNNNNNNNNNNNNNNNNNNNNNNNNNNNNNNNNNNNNNNNNNNNNNNNNNNNNNNNNNNNNNNNNNNNNNNNNNNNNNNNNNNNNNNNNNNNNNNNNNNNNNNNNNNNNNNNNNNNNNNNNNNNNNNNNNNNNNNNNNNNNNNNNNNNNNNNNNNNNNNNNNNNNNNNNNNNNNNNNNNNNNNNNNNNNNNNNNNNNNNNNNNNNNNNNNNNNNNNNNNNNNNNNNNNNNNNNNNNNNNNNNNNNNNNNNNNNNNNNNNNNNNNNNNNNNNNNNNNNNNNNNNNNNNNNNNNNNNNNNNNNNNNNNNNNNNNNNNNNNNNNNNNNNNNNNNNNNNNNNNNNNNNNNNNNNNNNNNNNNNNNNNNNNNNNNNNNNNNNNNNNNNNNNNNNNNNNNNNNNNNNNNNNNNNNNNNNNNNNNNNNNNNNNNNNNNNNNNNNNNNNNNNNNNNNNNNNNNNNNNNNNNNNNNNNNNNNNNNNNNNNNNNNNNNNNNNNNNNNNNNNNNNNNNNNNNNNNNNNNNNNNNNNNNNNNNNNNNNNNNNNNNNNNNNNNNNNNNNNNNNNNNNNNNNNNNNNNNNNNNNNNNNNNNNNNNNNNNNNNNNNNNNNNNNNNNNNNNNNNNNNNNNNNNNNNNNNNNNNNNNNNNNNNNNNNNNNNNNNNNNNNNNNNNNNNNNNNNNNNNNNNNNNNNNNNNNNNNNNNNNNNNNNNNNNNNNNNNNNNNNNNNNNNNNNNNNNNNNNNNNNNNNNNNNNNNNNNNNNNNNNNNNNNNNNNNNNNNNNNNNNNNNNNNNNNNNNNNNNNNNNNNNNNNNNNNNNNNNNNNNNNNNNNNNNNNNNNNNNNNNNNNNNNNNNNNNNNNNNNNNNNNNNNNNNNNNNNNNNNNNNNNNNNNNNNNNNNNNNNNNNNNNNNNNNNNNNNNNNNNNNNNNNNNNNNNNNNNNNNNNNNNNNNNNNNNNNNNNNNNNNNNNNNNNNNNNNNNNNNNNNNNNNNNNNNNNNNNNNNNNNNNNNNNNNNNNNNNNNNNNNNNNNNNNNNNNNNNNNNNNNNNNNNNNNNNNNNNNNNNNNNNNNNNNNNNNNNNNNNNNNNNNNNNNNNNNNNNNNNNNNNNNNNNNNNGCGGUCAGGUGUCUGGCCUCCCUCAACUUCUUAAUGUCCUCUUCCGUAACGGAGGAGGGCAUCCAUCGGCCUUGAAGGCUGGAUCCGGACAUGAUUGAAGAUCCGGAGCACCUAACCUGGGCUUUGGGUGUUAGAACUCGAGGCGGGGGAAGGGUUCGAUUGAACACAAGGGGGGAAAAGCAAAAACCUUGUCCCUUUAUAAAAAGGGUGAAUAUCAAGCGUACUCUCCGUAGCCGUUUAGGACUUGCCUAUAAUCUAGGAGUCCUAGACACGGUUGGGUUACCCACGACUGCAUUAAUGAGAAUCCCGUAAUUGGGGGAACACGAUCUCCGCUUCAACAAGACGUGUCAAGAAACCGCCUCGCGUUAUGUGUGGAGCUGGUUAAAAGAAACGGUUCGAAUAAUCACCGGGCCAUGACAUAACGUCAUGCAGCCAAAACAAGCCAGCAAAUUAGAUUUGCGAAAAUAUUAUUCUCUCUACGGUGGAAUGUGGAACUUAUUUUGCAGGGUCAGACACUAUCCUUGUAUUCAAAUUCUUCUGUGAUGUAUUCGGAGAAGGAACCCGCCUUGCAAUGCCGAAGACAAUACUGCGCGCCGGACUCAUCGUCAUUGAAGCCUGGUUCAGGGGCUACUGAGGGAGUCCUGGAUUAGGGGGUCUCCGGACAGCCGGACUAUCUCCAUUGGCCGGACUGUUAGACUAUGAAGAUACAAGAUUGAAGACUUCGUCUCGUGUCCGGAUGGGACUCUACUUGGCGUAGAAGGCAAGCUAGGCAAUAUAGAUAUGGAUAUCUCCUCCUUUGUAACCAACCUUGUGUAACCCUAACCCUCUCCGGUGUCUAUAUAAACCGAAGGGUUUUAGUCCGUAGGACAACAACCACAACAUACAAUCAUAUCAUAGGCUAGCUUCUAGGGUUUAGCCUCUCUGAUCUCGUGGUAGAUCUACUCUUGUACUACCCAUAUCAUCAAUAUCAAUCAAGCAGGACGUAGGGUUUUACCUCCAUCAAGAGGGCCCGAACCUGGGUAGAACAUCGUGUCCCCUGCCUCCUGUUACCAUCCGGCCUAGAUGCACAGUUUGGGACCCCCUAGCCGAGAUCCUCCGGUUUUGAUACCGACAGAGAGUGAGAAUUUUGGGUUAAGUGGACGUAGCAGUAGCGCGUUUAGACAAAACGCGCUACUACUAUUAAAGUCAGCUAUAGCGGUUUUAUACAGAAACUGCUACUGCUACCUUGACCAGCUGUAGCUCUUUUUCAGUAAAGCGCUACUGCUAUAACCAGUUUCCCUUUUUCUUUUCCUUUAUUUUUCUCACUUUUUUUCCGAGAGUAGCGAACGAAGGGAAGGCGAUAUAUAUUGCAUCAUUUGACGGUUAAAUAUGUAUGCAAAAUAGGAACAUAUAUAUUACAUCAUUGGACCCAUGCAUAAUAAUGGCUAAGUUUGUAUACAAAAUAGGAACAUAUAUAUAUAUAUACACACAUCAUUUGACCGAUUCCUCAACGCUGAUGUUUUCGUUUUUGAGUCAGCUUCUUUCCCUUCUUGUUCGUCGAAGAAUAAUUGAGCCCCUCAUUGUGACUUUGCCUUUUCCAUGGAGUAUGAUUUUUCUUAGGUAAUGUAGUAUUGAUUCUUCUUUUGACGUAUACUUCAUCAUCAUCGUCAUCUUCCCUCACCGGACAACUUGUUUUUUCCGCGUGCUCCUUCCGAUAAAUUAUGCAAUCGUUGAUGCAUGCAUGGUAUCUAAUGUGUGGCAGAUCAAGAGGGCGCACGAUCUUCUUGGCCUCAUCAACACUACUAGGACAUAGAUUAACCCGCGGGAAGAACAUCCUUUAGGUACUUGAGAUGCUCAUCGAGGCUAGUGUCGGUCCAUUUGUUUUUAGUCUUCAUCUUCAGGAGUUGGAGCGUGAAACUCAAGCGGGUCACCUCAAGAUUUGAACCAUCAUACAAUGGAGUGUUCGAGUCUACCACCAGUUGCUCCAGCUUAGCCUCCUCUCUAGAAGCAGCUCUCUCAGUACUCGUCUCCUUGCGAAGCAAUGCUUGAACAUGAGGGUCCCGCAUGAUUGAACUUAGUACCGACGAACUCUGCUGCGUGGAGUCCAUGUCGUUCUCUUCGCCGCCAUGUCCGGCCCCUUCUCCGCCGCCAUGUCCGGCCUCUUCCCCGCCGCCAUUAUCGAUCAUCUCUUCGUCUUGCCUCGUGUCAUCAUUACCUGCCCCCUUGGCAUCCUCAACAUCGUCACCCUCAUCUUCAAUUAUCCACCGAGUAUAGCCAUCCAUGAAACCAGUCAUGAGCAGGUGCGCUUCGACAUGACCAUCGUCAUGGGGGUCGAGCCAAACUAUUCCUUUGCAUUUUCAACACGGACAUGAAACCUCUGUCAGGUUAUUUUCCUUCAUGUCCUGCACCGCCGACCACAACCACCUGUCCACCAUCGUUCCACUGACCAUCGUCAACUCUGCACGGUAAUAAUAAACAAAUUGAUUAUAAAAAUGCGUGCAUUCUUCAAAGUCAUACAAAAAUUCGGCACGACCUUCCUUAAAAAUGGGACAUAUAUAGAUCUAGAGUUUUCCCAGAAUUCACUGAAAUGGAAAUAAAUCGACAUUUUGGAAAAACAUAGGCAACUCAAAAGCACAAUUUGGCGUCAACUCAUGCCACACACAAAAUUUCCAUAAACAUAUCACACACACAUAAACAUAUUUCCAUUUUGCAAAAGCAUGAAAUUUUAAUCACCUCUAUCUCGAGAUCGAGCAUACGGUGGAGAUGAUGUUGUAGGGAGAUCAAAAGUGCACAAAGCUCUUCUUGACAAAGAUAGAUCUAGUUAGGGGCAAAUAGGUCACUUAACUAAAUGCUACAUCUACCUAGCUACCUAAUUUGGGAGGAGAAAACUUCAACUAGUGGAGGGGGAAGGAAAAAGAGAAAGGAGAUGCAUUAAUGGAGGUGGUGUAGUUAUAGCUAGAAGUAAUGAAGAGAGAGAAAGGUAGGUAGAAGAGGGAGAGUAAUGGGGGAGAAGUAUUGAGGAAGAAGAAGAGUGAGAGAGGGAGGAUGUGGGAGGUAGGGGAAUGGGAGGAGAGGAGAUGGAGAGGGGGAGGUGGAAAAAGGUGGUGGGUGCUGCGUCUUAGCAGUAGCGCGGGAGCAAAAGUGCGCUGCUACUAAGAGCGUAGCAGCAGCGCGCUUUCCUAUCACGCGCUACUACUAAACGGGCCAACAGUGUGGACAAUUUCAAAAUUAGCAGCAGUAACGUGACUAAAAAGAGCCCUACUACUAUGGCAUUAACAGCAGUGCGCUUCCUGACGCCGCGCUACUGGUAAACUUAGGUUGUUGUGUAAUGUCGGUGGAUUUUUGUAGCAGCGCGGUUUAAACAUCACGCGCUACUGCUAAAUUUGCACCAGUAGCGCGCUUUCCGUAACCGCGCUGCUCCUAAUUAGCAGCAGCGCCUCUUUUUAUGCCGCGCUGCUGCUAACAUUUUGUGUAUAAGGUUUUCCCUAGUAGUGAUAUGUCGACGAUGUGGUCGUUAAAACCAGACACAUAGACUCCUCAAUAGACGACCUGAGGCUCACGUUCGACAAUCUCCGAACAUACGACAUUAAGCUCAAUCCAGAAAAAUGCAUUUUCGGCGUACCCGCCGGAAAGCUCCUGGGCUUUAUCGUCUCCAGCAGAGGAAUCGAAGCAAAUCCGGCCAAAAUCCGGGCUCUGUCACAGUUGGCCAUCCCAACAGACCUCAAGCAAAUCCAGAAGUUAACUGGAUGUGGGGCGGCUUUAAGCCGUUGUAUCUCCUGACUAGGAGAAAAUGCACUCCCCUUUAUCGCCUUCUUCGGUGCACCGAACACUUCGAGUGGACGGACACAGCCACGGCCGGACUGGAAGAAAUAAAAGCCAUCCUGGCCACCAACCCAAUCUUGACCACGCCAAAUGUUGGCGAACCAAUGCUAUUAUAUAUAGCGGCAACCCACCAAGUUGUAAGCGCAGUGCUCGUCGUCGAACGAGAGAUGGACAGACAUAAAUUCCCACUUCAAAAGCCAGUAUAUUAUGUAUCCACCGUCCUCACUCCAUGCAAAUCACGGUACCCACAUUAUCAAAAGAUAGCAUACGCGGUAUUCAUGGCGUCCCACAAAUUACGACACUACUUUCAAGAGUGUUCAAUUGCGGUGGCCUCCGAAGUACCACUCAAUAACAUAAUAAACAACCGCGAUGCCAUGGGCCGGAUUGCCAAAUGGGCUAUCGAGCUCCUCCCGUUCGACAUAACAUAUAAACCACGGCGAGCAUUUAAGUCGCAAGUACUGGCCGACUUCAUAGCCGAAUGGACGGAAGCCGAACUCCCUAAAGAGUACGACGCAUACUCCAAUUGGAUCAUGCACUUCGACGGCUCUAAAAUGCUGGCUGGUCUGGGUGCUGGCGUCGUCCUGACGCCCCCCACCGGAGAUACAGUGCAAUACAUACUCCAAAUACUAUAUACAGACUCCAACAACCCAGCCGAAUACGAGGCCCUGUUACACGGUCUCCGGAUGGCAGUUUCCAUGGGCAUUCAACGCCUGGAGGUGCGUGGGGACUCGAACCUCACGAUAUCCCAAAUAAAUGGAGACUUCGAUGCCAAGGAUUCGAAAAUGGCAGCAUAUCACAAUGCCGUGCUCAAAAUAUCAGCUCGGUUCGAGGGGCUUGAAUUCCACCAUGUGGCUCGGCAAACCAACCAGGCGGCGGACAUCCUUGCCCGUCUCGACGCUAAAUGCGACCUUGUCCCACCUAACAACUUCCUGGAAAAACUGUUUAAACCAUCCGUGGUAUGGGAAGGGGACACCAGCAACAAUAGUCCGGACCCGGCCACAACCCCAGAUACCGAACACUCUGACACAAUCGGAGGCUCUGCCAUCGAAAUAACACCUUCAGCCCACGUAAUAAUGGCCGUCAUCGCCCCGUGGACAAAACCAUUCUUGGCCUACCUAAUCAGGCAGGAACUACCCGAGGACCAAAAUGAGGCACGCUGCAUAGUGCGGCAAUCUAAAGCCUACAAGGUCCACGAGGGAGGGCUUUAUAAGAAAAGCACUACCGGAGUCCUUCAAAGGUGCAUCUCCGAAGAGGAAGGGCGGAAGCUUUUGGCAGAAAUCCAUGCCGGACUCGGCGGCCAUCACACCGCAGCCCGGGCCCUUAUAAGUAAGGCCUUCCGUACAGGUUUCUAUUGGCCGACAGCCCGGGCAGAUGCGCAGCACCUGGUCCAGCAUUGUGUCGGUUGCCAGCUCUUUGCAAACCAAAGCCAUAUGCCGCCUACCGCUCUCCAAACUAUCCCCAUUACUUGGCCCUUUGUGGUCUGGGGGCUUGAUAUGGUCGGACCCCUUAAAGGGGGAACCCAUAAUAAAAAAUACUUACUGGUCAUGAUGGAUAAAUCCACCAAAUGUAUAGAAGCCAAACCUGUCAAAACGGCUGAAUCCGGACCAGUGAUAGACUUCAUAUCCGGGGUCGUACACCAUUAUGGCGUCCCCACAGCAUCAUCACUGACAACGACACGAACUUCACAGCCGACGAAGUGAAACUUUGGUGCAGCAACAUGGGCAUCAAGCUCGAUUAUGCUUCUGUCUAUCACCCGCAUACUAACGGUCAAGUCGAGCGAGCGAGUGGUCUUAUCAUGAGCGGCAUUAAACCCAGAUUAGUGCGGUCCUUAAAGGAAUCAAACAUGCACUAGGUAGAGGAGCUCGACUCCGUACUAUGGGGGCUGCGGACCACGCCGAAUCGCACUACUGGAUACACACCGUUUUUUAUGGUGUACGGCGCUGAGGCGGUUCUGCCCUGCGACAUAAUUCAUGACUCACCUCGAGUGCGCAUGUACGAAGAAAAAGAGGCCGAGCUCGAUCGGCAGGACAAUUUGGACACCCUGGAGGAGGAGCGCGACGUGGCAAAAGCCCGUUCCGCAUUCUAUCAACAACAGGCUCGAAGGUAUCAAAGCAGAGAAGUAUGGACCAAAACCUAUAACGUUGGUGAACUAGUUCUACGCCUGCCGGAGAGGAAAAAGAACAAGCUCAAGCCCAAAUGGGAAGGUCCCUUCAUUAUUGACCAGGUUCUUACCGGCGGAGCAUACCGUCUACGGGAUGCAUCGAAUAAUCGACUCGAGCCAAACCCAUGGAACGCAGCCAGGAUCCGAAGAUUCUAUGCCUAGCACCGGAUUCUAUGUUCGUAUCCUCACAUCCGUCCAUUUUUUGCAUAUCUGUCUUUUCUCUCUUUCUCUCUUUUUCUAUUCUCUUCAAGGCCUAAAGGGCAAAAAUUGUGUCUUGGUUACACAAUCUUGACGCGCUAUUCGCGCUCAUUAUACCUGAAGGCUUCUUAUACAGAAGCUUAAUCUAAUUAUUUUUCGGGAUUUAUACCCCGCACAUGUGUUAUUCUUCCGCAUGUACCUUUUUCGUCAUUAUAUGCAUUGAUAUGACUUAAGUUUUGGCCAAGCUAGGUUGUCUGGCUCUUUUAUUUAUGCCCUAAGUUCCCGUUAAUUCGGCUAGGGCAUAAGUGGAGCACCUCUGCGAUUGUUACUGCCGGGUCAGCCGGAUGUGUACCUCAGACUGGGUGAAGCCGAAAGCUAGCGUUUUUAAGAGAAUAUUCGGUCGGUGAAUAAAAGAUGACUUUUAUCUAAAUUUGUCACAUGCCCCCAAAGGUUUAUAGCCUGCAUCUCUUCUCGCAGUCCGGACAUGCACAUUAGGGCAUGCGUACCCAGGGAAAGGAACCCUUAACGGAACUAUUCUCCCUGGAAGAUCUUUCUUCCUACCCAUGUAAUAUAACAUAGCUAGUUGGGUACUUGUCUGUUCAAGCACUUAUGACCCCUACGCCUGGUUUCCAUGCAUACCCCGGUUUUUACAUAAUUGAGCGGGUAUUCGGAUACACUCCGGACUAUCGGGUCCAGAGGUCGAAGCGAAAAGGUCCGCCAUGACAAAUGAUUUACAAUCCGGCUAGGGACAUUACAUAUGUCACUUGAAGUACACAGUCACUAAGACUGAUUAAAUUCUUCUUCUAUACCAUCCAACAGGAUGUCUAGCCUACAAUCCUGUUGGGAAUACUUUGCAGCUAAUUCUACUUGAUCAUACACUAAACUGACGGGGAUCUCUCUCCCAUCGGGCCCCACAGGUCCGACCUCGGCCAUGUGGUUUGGGUCCACUUUGGUAUAUCGCGUCUUCACCAUAGCCCAUGCUUCCCUUGCACCUUGUCGGCAGGCUGAUAUCUUCCAUAAUCGGAAGCGCCGCCGCGCUCCCUUGAGCUUCUCUAUAAGCUCCCCCAUGCCUCCUGGUGGGGACGCGGAUGGCCACAAGGCUUGGGCAAUACCCUGCAUCACCUAUCGAACUUGCUCGUGCAGUUGUGAGAGCUCUGGUAGAAGAUCACCCAAAGACCCGGGCAUCUCUUCCGUGGGACGACCCGUCAGCAUACCUGCAGACAUAACUCUGUUAGCCGGCUUCUUCGCCGAACUCCUUUAAAAGUUCGUUCAAGCACUUACUGAAAAUGCCACGCCGAAGCCGUUUAUUCUCCUUCACAGAGUCCGCAAGCUGGGCUCGGACAUCUUUCAGUUCCACGCCCAGCCGGAUAUUGGCAUCUUGGAGAUUAUUUUUCUCCUGCCCGACUCGCGUAAGCACGCGCUCGCCAGCAUUUAGCUGUCGAUCAGCACGUGCCACAUUCACUGCCACGGCCUCCGUAUCCACUCCGGGGCCACCUGGAACAUCUAUUGUUAGAUUUGCAUACAUGCCACAUACUACCUGGUACCCAUAUUCUUUGUAAUGGAAACAAGUGUUACCAGAUGGACCCUUCUCGGACUCCUUCAACGUGGCAACAGCGGCCCCUAGCUGGGCCUUGCACUCUUCUAGCUCUUGAGACAAUUGGAAAUUCUUCUCUGUAAGAACCUGCACAAAUAAUGAUCCUUAAAUCAGUUGCGUCAACUAUUUCAAGUCUCAGGAGCUACUGAUACAUAUAAUUGUCAGAUUUGCUUACCCGUAUAUCCCUUACAUACUGGUUCGUGGCUCUGGCUAGACCAUUUUGAGCAGCACGGAUGUACGCGUCUCCAGAAUUGAAGGCGUCAAAUGCCUCUGGUGAGAAACAAGCGUCACAGAGUACGGCCCGGUGACGCCUAUGAUUCAUGGCGCUCUCCACUUCGGAAUUUGUAGCGGAUAGUCUUUCCGCAUCCUCUGUAGGAGGAACAUCCGGCGUCUGCCCCACGUUAGCUUCCACCUCUAUGUCCGGCCCUGGAGCCCGAGUGGUGGAGGCGUGAUCGGCAGCCUCUCCGGAUAUAGUCCGGCGAGCGAUUUUUCUACUAGGAAAUAUGGACGUCAUUAUAUUUUAAGAAAGACGACAACCACGGAGCGAGGUUUCGUGUCAUACCUCUGCGCCGGCGUCUCCAUCCCGACCGCCUUCCUUUUUGGCCUACCCGGCUUCAGUGCCCCUUGUUGGCGAGUUGUUGCGGAUUCGGCACGGCGUCCCGAAUGCCUUCCCUGUAAAACACCAUAUGUGUACGGUAGGUGAAGUGCAUAAAAGAGGAUCCUUUUUGGGAGUUGGGACUUUGGUUUUUCUUACGUGCGACGCAGGGAGUAGUCCAGGAUAGUCGGCCGUUAUGGCCACCAUGGCGUCAUCGCAGCUCAAUUGAUAGAAUUGCUUGUCUAUCAGCUCCACGAAUAUGUCCGGAUCCUCUUCGAGUCCGGGAUCGAGGGCCCGGCCAGGGUCCUCCGGUUGUGGAGGUGGGCUGUUGACCUCCCUUACAGCUUUUCGCAGUUCCUGCCGUGAAAUGGCAAGGUGAGUAUCUAUGAUGAAGAAUGCGGGAAGGUUGGGAGUAAAGAGGUACAACUCACCCAGCUUGAAGGGUUGUACAUGGAGAAUCCAUCCCGUGGCUUGAUACAGAUGAACUCCUCUUCCUCUCCCUUGAACAACUCGAACAUAAUUUUUGCUAAAGCAGCAGUGGAGUCCGGUCCCUUACGCCCACAACGGGUGGCAUCAUCUUCCUCGUUAAAACACCACAGGGGGUGCCCUCGAUAUUGAAGCGGCUGCACUCCCCGCAUUAUGCAUAUUGAUAUAACCUCGAUUAUUGUCAAUCCUGAUUGAGCCAGUGGUUUAAUCCGGUUCAUCAGGUAAAGGACUUCUCCGUUGUCUUCCUCCUGGGGGCUUCGUGGGCGCCAGCUUCGGCGUUUCUUCAGAGGAGCAUUGUUGAACUCAGGAAGACCCCGCCGAACAGGGUCUGUAAGGGGGACGUCCUCCAUGUAAAACCACUCCAAAGGCCAGUCUUCGGAUGUCUUCUUCGGAGUACCGGACAGGUAUCCAGUCUCGGCGAUGCGCCAUAUUUCGGCUCCGCCCACUUGAUAAAGUGACCCCUUCUGUGUGCGGGGCACAAGGCAGAAUAUCCUUUUCCACAACUCGAAAUGAGCCUCAUAGCCCAGAAACAGCUCACAAAGGGCAACAUAACCGGCGAUUUGUAAUAUGGAAGCAGGGGUGAAAUUAUGCAACUGGAGGCUGUAAAACUCCAGGAGCCCGCGGAGGAACGGAUGAAUUGGAAACCCGAGUCCCCUUAGUAGGUAAGGAACAAGGCAUACCCGCUCCCCCUUGGAGGGAUUGGGGAAGCUCUCUGCUUGCUCCCCGCCAUUAUAGGUGGCGAGCCCGGCUCGAACGGGGAUCAUAUACGCUGGAGGGAGAAAUCCCUGGGUCUGCAACUCUACUAAUCGGCUGUGCGGGACGGAACACUUCUCCCAAUCACCGGGCUUAGGGCUACGGGAGCGAAAGGAGGAGCUGCGAUGGCUGGCCAUGAUGGAAUGGAUUUUUCCGAGCGUGCUCCGAUGGACUCUCGCCGUGGGAGGAUGGUGUGGAUUGGAUCCAAGAAUCCCCAUCCCUUUAAUAGAUGAUUUAUUUACCUGGCUAGGGGGGCGAAUGUAAAAACGCCCUGGCUCCUCGCAUUCGCUCGACGCGUGGAAGAUAGCCCUUAUUAGGCGCAGAAGCCGAGAAGUCCAACAUUUAUGGGAGACGGACACUACUUAGCAGAUAUUCAGGAUUUGGAGAAGAACCCGCCUUGUAAUGCCGAAGACAAUACUGUGCGCCGGACUCAUCGUCAUUGAAGCCUAGUGUUGAAACACGAACACGUCACGUGUACCUUCAACGCCGGGGGUGAUGCACCACAGCUCACGUCGAAGGGGACCCGACCGACAGCGUGAUACGUAAGACAGUCGACGGGCACUUUUGCAGACCCGAAACCCCACACCCCCGGGAGGGACCCCGUUAGGGAGUGCGGCGGCUAUGGGCUGCCCUAGGUCGAUUCGCUCGCCCCUAGAGCCUCGGGAUUCACAACUCUCAAACUUGAGGAACAGCGAAGAACGAGAGAGAAAAUGGUGGAGAGAUAAAACGUAAACUGAAAAAGUAGUAUAUUGAUUUGUUCGAUUGUGUGUUGUUCAAUCGGCCGUCACCCCCAACAUAUAUAAGAGGCAGCUGGACUUCCCGUACAAGUAAAGGAUUCAUCUAGGCUUUCCUUACAAGAAAAAUUACAUCAAUUCACGUCCUAGAGUUCUAGUUCUAUUCCAACUCAGGUUCAGUCUAAAUCUGGCCCAAACUCUAUCUUCCUUCUUGCGCGGGCCGCUGAGCUUGCAUAUGAUCUCCGAUCAAGACGGCCCAAAUAUCAAAUUUGUGCGCCUUGACGAUAAGAACAACUCUCAUGUUGAUCACUUUUUCAAAUAAGGCCUUCUUGAAUACUUUUCGAGGUCAUCUUUACCUUUCAGUCAGACUCGGUCUUGCAGUAGACUGGAUUAUCCGAGUCUCGUAGUGAAUUUGUAAGCCAUAUACUAUCUCUGAUGAUGAUGACUCCAAAACCAAAGUUUACACUCUUGAUGAUAUGCACAACUUCUGUAUUGAACACUUCUUCAUCCGAGGUCAUCUUGACAAACUUUCGGGCGUAUGUUCAGUUUUACUCAGAUUCGAGCUCAUCCACUCGGAUUAGAGUCAUUCACUUGGAUCGUCCGACUGGACUUUUUCACUCGGAUGUUAGAAUCUUUCACUCAGAAGACAAUCUUCACUCGGAUGACCAUAUUUUCACUCGGAAGGUAAUCUCUUUACUCGAUCGGCAAGUUUUUAUUCCGACAGUAAUCUUUUCACUCGGAUGAUUAUAUUUUCACUCGGAAGACAAUCUCUUACUCGAUAGGCAAGUUUUCAUUCCGACGGUAAUGGUUUCACUCGGAUGAUAAUAAUUUCACUCAGACGGAAAACUUUCACUCGACCGGUAAGUUUUCACUCGGAUGGUAAGCUUUCACUCGAUCGGUAAGUUUUCACUCGGAUGGUAGCUUUUCACUCGGAUUUUCCGACUGAAAACAUAGCCUGAUCUUGUUUUGUCUCUCCAGGCCUCAUACGACCUCAGAUUGAAACGAAUUAUAUAUGAAAACCGAUCGGCUCGACGAGACGAAACUUCUCUGUGUUGACGGUUUUUCGAUUCAAGGCCGUCUUGAGGGCCGAAUUGCUCACGCAUUGUAUCAGACACUCAUCAACAUGUGUGUGGUGUCAAUCGUAAUAUUUUGGUCUCUGGCCUGUCCAAACCGAAUUGACUGUAACUUUUGCAUAUGAACUCGGAUUAAGAUGAUUUAUAUAUGAAAAUCGAUUGCCUCGACGAGACGAGGAUAAUUCCUUUAGAGUGCUCCUUCAUCUGAGGUCAUAUUGAGGGCGUAAUCUGCCGAAAAGCACUCAGAACACUAAAUUUUGUCACUCGGAGUACAACUUCGGCCAUUGAGAUGAGGUCGAAUGGCGAUAGCCUAAACAUCAAAGUUGUUCCACUCGACGAUGUGGAACUUUCUCAUGCUGAAACCCUUUCACUUUAUAUCUUGCCAAAAUCAGGUGUCAACACCUGGUUCAGGGGCUACUGAGGGAGUCCUGGAUUAGGGGGUCUCCGGACAGCCGGACUAUAUCCUUUGGCCGGAUUGUUGGACUAUGAAGAUGCAGGAUUGAAGACUUCGUCUCGUGUCCGGAUGGGACUCUCCUUGACGUGGAAGGCAAGCUAGGCGAUACAGAUAUGUAGAUCUCCUCCUUUGUAACCAACCUUGUGUAGCCCUAGCCCCCUCCAGUGUCUAUAUAAACCAGAGGUUUAGUCCGUAGGACAACAGACAAUCAUACCAUAGGCUAGCUUCUAGGGUUUAGCCUCUACGAUCUCAUGGUAGAUCAACUCUUGUAAUACUCAUAUCAUCAAGAACAAUCAAGUAGGGCGUAGGGUAUUACAUCCUUCAAGAGGGCCCGAACCUGGGUAAACAUCGUGUUCCUUGUCUUCUGUUACCAUCCGCCUUAGACGCACAGUUCGGGACCCCUACCCGAGAUUCGCCGGUUUUGACACCGACAACGCACCUUAUCCUUCGCCGACAAUGCUCUUGCUAUUGAUGGGCUCUCCGCCCAUCACUAGUCAGCGUCCGGAGGCGCGACGCAUGGUGAUGUGGUGGAGCAGUAGAGGAGCGCUACUACAGUGUCGCGGCAGAGCAAUAGUGAGCAGCAGAUGUGCUAGGGCAGAAGAGCUCUGGGUGUCAGGAAUAAGAAGACGCGGGCGAGGAGAAUGAGAGUGUAAAGCUCUCUCUUUAUGUGCCUUCUCCCUUAUAUAGGGUAAGGGAAAUGCGAAAUGGCGACAUGUUAACCCUAUGGCAUGGCAGCAAAUAGUUUUGCAUCCCGACAUCAAUGUUAAUUACGUGCGUGGAUCGAGGUGACCCCAAUUAACCUAGGGUGGGGAUUGAGGCACACAUCCACUAUGGAUGGGAUGUGAUGUAGGUGGGCCGUCAGCCCGCUCCCACAUGUCAUGUUUACCAUCGGGUCACGUUUCACACGUGGUCUGGCAGGACCACUUGAUGAGACCGGCCUGGUCAGUUAGGGCCAGGCAGAUGGAACCUUUGAAGACGCGACACAUGAAUUUGACCCCUGAAGAGAUGACUACGUAGGAAACAUUUUCUGUGUAGGUUGGCUAUCUCCUUUGACGAGACAAGGCCGAGGUGUUUUGCACCACUUUGGAGGAAGCCCAGCAGCCGGAGGUUGGCUGCAUGAAGGCACCGUUGGAGAAGCUUCAUGACCCAAGACGGCAUGAACUCAAACAUGACACAGAUGCAUCCUAGAUUGGAGACCGAUUUAGGGGCUACUGAUGGUGUCCCGACUCAGGGGUCUCUCACUAUGUCGGUUCCCGGCUUGGUGGGCCGGCUGAGGACCCUUAGGUUGGUUGCGUCCAUGGCCACAUUGGGCAGCCCAUGACAAUUAUGUGGAAGACUUGUUGAACAAGCCAAAGAUACCAGGGCCAUGGAGGACUCUACCUCCAGCGAUGUAACGGAAUAGGGUCUGUAUCCCCAGAACCCCAGUAUGUUAUAUAAGUCGGGGGCUGGGCUCGUCGAUAUCAUACACAUAAUACCUUUGUAUUCAUCUGUACAUUGUGCAUUACCUCGAGCGUGAGGGCCUAAACCUGGGUAAAUCCUUGACUCCUAUUACCAUCCAACCUAAUUGCCUAGGUGGGAUACCGUACCGAUGGAUCCGGAAUCGUAUCAGACAUUCUGUCCAAUGGUGUUCCCUGGUUUUCCAAGGCGUUGCGUUUAGUUCCUAUUCAGUAGUCUCGAUCGCUUUGUAUUUGGUGUGUUGACUCCUAUUACCUUUCUCGAUUGUAAGUUGGUGGCAUUUUAGCUACUGUUUCUCAUAUGUUUUUUAUUUGACAUAUUAGGAUUUCCUCACCACUUUGUAUCGGUUCAGCAGUGUGUGCUUUAUUUAUAAAGCGGGGGGAAAGCAUGUUUUGAAAGUUGCCACUUACACACAUUCAUGAACAUAUUUCAAAGCCUUCCUCUUUACGUUCCAAUUUUGUGAGAACAUUGUAGUUUAUUUUCUUCAUAAGGCAAUAAAAGGAAUCCACAUUAUAGUAGCAAUCUAUGAAUGCUGAAUGGCUUACAAUAUUCGACAUGGAGAUUGCAAUUUUGCAUGUUGUAGUGUGUUGUCAUGAGAAGAAGUUGCUUAGAUGUGUCGAUCAUGGAGUUGAUAUGCCUUGAUCCCACCAUGCGUGCGUGCAUCUUUUUGGCCCACACGUUCACCCACUCAUGGAUGCAUGACACAACUGAACUUUUCAGACAUAAUUGCCAAACUAAUCCCACUCACUUAUUAAAUUACUCAGUAUGGAUCCCUGUCAAAGGUUGAUUAGACAGUACCUGGACACAACACAUUUUACAAUUGUCAAGUGCAUGUCGCUGAAUUAUCUAAACCAUACGUGCAUGCCCAUGUACAGUGGGGUCCAUUUAUAACUUGCUGAAACUCUUAGUUAAUCUCCUGUGUUGAGCCAAGGUGUACUACUUGUGGGCACUAAUCAAAGCAAUUUGAUGAAAGCAAUUGUGCAACUAGUUGGAAUUAAUGAUCUUGUGGAUUCUGCAACUACCAUUUGAUUACAGAAAAGGUAUGUCCAUGUUGUCGGCACUGGCAAAAAUACAGAAGCAGAAAAGGAACCUAUGUUGACAUGUAGGUCAUGUGCACAUCACAACACUGUCGAUCACUGUGAAAUGCAAGACACCCUUAUGUGCAAGCAAUGAAGAGAGUAUGAAGGGCAGGACAUUGAUUGCAUGAAAGUGUGGUUUCUGCAAUCAAGUGCCCCCCUCUUUGACAGGUAUAUAUGCUUAAUUAUGUUGGUCAAUGCAUGGUUAGGUAAUUAAUUAACCAGAUGUAACUAAAUGGUUAAUUCUGUCUACAGGAGAAUUACAGAAUUACAUUGAGUGUGUUCUGGUGGUUUAGUUGCAGUGCAUGAAGGAUGGUUAAUAAUUUAUCUAAGUCGUCUGCUGAAGAAGUUAGUAGAAUACAUUAUAUAAUAAUGGGGGUGCCAUGCAAUUCAAACAGUUGGUUAAAUUUUUACCAAACAUGCAACCACCUUGAUCUCUCACAUCACACAGAGCAGAGACGUUCCUGUAAAAUGGGGCUCUUUGAUGUUUGAACUGUGAUAUAAUAGCUAUCACACCUUGCUCAUUGGAAGCUUCCUGUCAACCCUUGAUUGCUAGUGUCAUCACUGACAAAUGCAGGCACACAAAUCCAAUAUGUAUAUGUGUUUCCCGCAAAAAGAUGAGUAGUUAGUUCCAUGGCUUGUCCAUUCAGACAUAUAGUUGAACCCUCUUGUCGGUUCUUUCAGGUCAUUUAUUCUCCUUUCUUUUUUAAUGCAGUAGUGCACAAAUAUUUAAUACUUAACACUCAAUUUGCAGGCUUAUUAAAUAAGAAAAAUCAAAGAUAAAAAGCCAAAAAAAAGAACACUCUGAUAAGUCACGACAUGUGUUUUUAUAACUCUGAACUGCAAGCAAGACAGGACAACAGAAUUAACAAGAUGCAUCUCUGUCUAUUUUUCUCGAGCAGGCACCUAAAUGUGCACCAUUUUACAGCUUAAUUUCGCUCCUACAAAUUAGCAGCAUGUUUAGAGUGUAAUUAACACUAAUACUGACAUACAUUGAUUUUUUUUUUUAGAAAAGGAGGAUGACCCCCGGCCUCUGCAUCUGGGAGAUGCAUGCGGCCACUUUAUUGAUUAUUCUUGAGGACCUUACAAAGUAUUACAACAAUAUGUCUGAAUCCACCAUCUUAGCAACAUAUGCUACUACUCCUAUCAAUAUGAUGAAGGGGUGCUAGCUGGGCCAAAUACCCAGACCACUCACCUAAGCCUAUCAUCAAAAGCCAGAAGCCUCAGCCGAGCCACAUACCGGGUGUGGGGCAUAAACUGGUCUGAUGCACUCACAUGUGUCGUCGUCGCCAUCUUCCACAUGUCCAUCUUCUGAUCAGAUAUUGAGGCUUCUACCUUGUCAGACCACUCUGCCAUUGACGCCACCAUGACGCCAGACAACUACCUCCUCAUGCGCGAGUUCAUCACCGCGCAUUGGACGCCGAGUCUCCAUUGCGCCACGCCAUCGAGAUCCGCCGUCAUCAAUGUGUAGGAUGAAGCACCGCUCCACCAAAAAAGCCGCCCACUAGUCCCUCGAUCCCGUGUACGCCUCCAAGAAUGACGCCCGUAAGGAGGAAACGACACCAACGCGCCGCCGUCAUCCGAUCUACUGAUCUAGGGUUUCCCCCGGAAGUAGCAGAUAGAGGUCUGGAGCUUUUCCACUGCGAUGCCUUCGAGAAGGUUAUGACACAAAAGAGUGCCACCAACGCUGGUCUUGGCAUCAAGACGAGAACGAGGUUUUCACCCGGAUCCGCUCGAAGAACCUCCAUCAAGCAUCGUGUGCACGGGUCACCGCCGAUCGGAGCCGCCGCACAUCGAGCAGGCCGCACCGGCCAGAUCAGAUCUGUCCGGAGGGCAAACCACGCAUAGUGCCGACCCAACCACCAGGCCCUUCAUGCCGCCACCGCCGAUCCGAGGUCAGAUGGUCUGUCGCCGCAAACCCGGCCGCCGCCACCGAACGCAGCCUAGGCCGCUGCCCGAAGUAGGGCCGGCCGCCGCACCCGCCACCAUCGCCGCCCUAGACUGAGGCGGCCGCCGCGGCGCCGCCAGAAGGCAGGCCCGCCAUGCCACCAAGGCCAGAUCGGCCGUGCCACCACACACCGCGGGGCUCCGCACUGCCCCCAUGGCGCAGGAGAGAGGGAAGGCCCCCGCCAUCGCCGCCAGCCCCCGGGCUAUAGGCCUGCGGCGUCCUUCGGCGGCAGCGGAGGUAGGGAUGGAGGGACGGGGAGCCCCCAGCGGCUAGGGUUGCUAUCCCGCCCGAGUCGCCCGAGCGGGGGCGACGUGGGGGUCUACGCGGGGGGUGCAGGGAUCACUGACAUACAUAGAUACAUAGACUAUCCCUAUUAUCUGGGAGUAUGGGCCUUUACCAUCAUCAGCCACCCAAUAUUGGUUAACCAAAUCGGUUAUGGUGGGUGGAUCAACACCCACACGCACGCUCUUAUGUAGAAGCUUCAGGUUCAUCUUAUUGCAGCCUGCAGGUUUCAGUCAGUAUGUACCAGCCAUGCUAACUUAAAUCACAAUGCGCUCUAAAUUCGAUGUCCUCACGACACAACCACCGUAAGAGGGCUUAUUAAACUAUAGGUUCCAAUAGCAUUGCUGCAUUAGAAUUGCUUUCUCUAGUUUCAACAAACCCAGUAAUUAAUAAGAUCCAGUCUACUCCUAAAAAGAGAUCCGGUCCCGUGCAAUCACUGAAUUGAACUUCUGGAGCUGGUAAGAAUUCCGCACUCUGAUGUCCGAUGAAGGGGAAAACUACUGUGUCCCUAUUGGUUACUAGCAUUAUGUGCUCAUGUAAGUAACUGAAUAUUACACAACAUAUUUCAGUGUGUUCAAUAAUGUGAGUAGAUGUGACAGGAAGGAAGAACUUUGUUUUCGUUCUGAUAACUUCUGCAAGUACUCUAGCUAGUGGAUGAAUUGGCAAGCAUCCCACAGUAGAAUUCUGAUAUAUUAAUACCUGCCUAGGCAUCUGGCUACUAGGACAAAAGGCAAUUAAUCAUUGUUUUGUGCCUGUUAGUAGCAUUGAGACGCCAAUACACUGUUAUCCGCAGCUUUGAUUUAGAGUAUGAGGGUGACAUGAUGAAUUUACAUGCUAUUGGGCAGUUAAAAUAAUCCAUCAGAUUGUUGGAUGUAGUAUAUGUCAGUGUACACUCUAGAAAAUAUUACUGAACAUUUCUGAUUGGCAAUGCCAUGUCCUCCUACAGAAUGGUGCACAGUUAAUACAAAUUAUGUAUAUUAGCACUAAUCAGAUUUCUAAUGCGUGUGACAGCCACAAACGAAGAGUAACUCAUUGUGAUAAGAAAUCUGAUAUGGACAUCUUAUAUAACGAUGUGCUUAUUUUAGGUGGCAAUCCUUUUUGCCCAUCAUUAUUGUAUAUUGCUGGAAGCAACACUGCUGCAAAUAUGACAGAAUGGCUUCCAAUUAUGUAUGUCACACGCUGAGUUAAUAAUUUCUGUCAUUAUCUGAAGAAUGCAAUUCCCAUCUUCUGGCUGUUUGCUUCUGUUCUAUAUUUGGGAAAUUAACUUAUUUUAUGGUUUGUUCCAAAUCAUAACCAAAUGUACACAUGCAUAAUAGAGAAAGAUAUAUAAGUUCUCAAAUUUUUUUUGCUAUCAUCCUGAAGAAGAUAUAUGUAACAUAGUUACUAAGGAGUACUCAAUCACAUGUGGAGCUUGAAUAUGGCAGGCAAAGAAUUUUACUCUCACCUUUAAUUUAUUUUCUUCAGUUGCAGUAAUAUAUAAGCAACUCAAACUUCACAUGCUGUUCAGUUGAUGAAUAAAGUAAGGAUCUGGACGGAUAUGUCAAGCUUAAAUGUUUACACAGUCAGACAGCCUUGUGGGGUCUUUAGGUUAAUAUUAGGGUCUCAACUUAGUCUAAUGCAACCUUAAAAUGCAUGAAGCUACUUGUUCUCACAUCUUUCAUAUCAUCAUAGGAUAAUGCAUUGCUUAAGAAUUUUCUAAAUCAACAAGGAUUAACAACAUGAUCUGCCGUGCCAUGCCCUGGACUGCAUCUGUUAAAGAGUAUAGUUAGUAAACAGAAUAGGAUAAAGAAAUAGAACCAAAUCUUUGCCUGAUCCAUUUGCUCAUCGCAUGUCACUGUUAAGCCUGUAGUCGUUACAGUUUGGUGAGGAUUGUGUUCACGUUUGUACUACUUCACUUGUAUCCCCGCACUUAUACUAGACGCUAUAUUAACAACCUAUACUAGGACUGAUCACAAUUUGGGCAGCGAUCUAGGUAAGAUGAAUUAAAUGUGGCAUUUUACUUGCAAGACAAGGUACUGUUAAUCAAUGCUAAGCUAGGCUUAUUGGCCUAGGCAUUCUCAAGUCAAUAGGUUCACUGUCCUAAUCGCGGACGUGCAGAAAGGCUGAUAUGGUGAUAAUUUGAGUGAGUUGACAAAGACUAUAUCAAGGUUGAAUUUGAUGCUCCAGGCCUCGACCGAUUUGCACUUCUCAUUGACGUCAUCAGUUACAUAAACAAAAAGUUUUGGCGCUCUGAUGUGAGGAUAAACCAUAUCUGUAAUUGUAUUUGCUCAAAAAAAAAUAUCUACAAUUACCAUGGGUCUCAGAUAAUAUAUGUCAGGUUAAUAAAUAAAAAUAAUUAAAUCCAUUUUUGUAAAUAAGGACAUAUUUCAAUGCAUACGUGGUGUCCCUGGUGUCAUGCCGUGGCAAUAAAGCCGACAAGAGCCGCGUCUCCUAAACUUUUGCAAUUUUAGUUUGUUGCAUUAACCUAAUCCAGUUAGUUAGGAUAAAGCGGACCAUGUUGCAUUAUAGCAUCUGUUUGACUUUGCUGCUGAGAUUGACUCCUUCUUGUUAACCAAUUUGUCUCAGAGCAUGUCUGUGCUAUUGGCAGCAGGAGUUGUUUAUAAAUACUCCUAGCAUGGAAGGAAUUCAACCCUGAACCUGUGCGUCUGUGUCUGCACCUGAAAAACAGGCAGAAGCUAUCACCUGCUGUCUAAAGCAACAGUGUAUGAAACUGAAUCUGUCCUUAGAUCUUCAGUUAUUUCAUCUGUCUUGUAAUUAUCUAUCGUUAACAGAAUACUAUUAACUACUUGCUUAAUCUUGAGUACAGGGGAUUACGGAGUUGAAACUUCAACUGCUAGUAGCUUACGCACGGUUAAUUGUUUGCUAGACUCAGAUCGCUGGAAUCUAGUGUAGUGCUCCUACUGUCGACAGAAUUUGAUCAACUGAAUGUGCUGCACUAGACCUCAGCAAUACUAGCGUGUGCGCAUGAUACAGAUGUGACCCGCAGGUCACAAAAUCUAGUAUGCAGAACAAAUCCUGUUCUUUGCCCUAAUUUAUAUUUAAAGACAAUAGGCAUGUAGCCACAAUUGUUUGUAAACAUGCAGCCUAUUUAUCAGGCAUCAACUUGGCACAAUUGUUUGUGUAUUGGGGGUCAAAGGCAUGGUUGAGAAGCAUGGGAAAGCCAGAAAACAGUGGCAUGAUAGUGAUGCAUAUCCAUGGCUGACUAGCAACAGUAGUGCUGGUUCCUGUCUGAACCUCUGAAAAAAAAAACGUUCUUGUCUGAAGUGACUCAUGGCAGAGGAUGAUGGUGAUUAGUUUAUUUAACAGCUAGCUAGGUAGCUAGGCAGGGCUGUGGUUUGCAAGGGAAGCUUAACUUUGGAUGUAGGCUGAAGUGACUCAUGGUAGAGAUUGACAAGUUACUCUUCUUCCUUCUGUUAUGUGUCACUGACUACUACAGUCUCUGAUGAACGUGUAGAAUAAUAAUAAGAGUAAUUCCAAUGAUUAGUUUGUUCUUUAUCCAGGAGUGUACAAAAACGACAGGAGAAAAUGGAAAGGGGAGAUUUACUUUGCUGAGGAUGGAAACAUAUGGUAAAAUAUAUAAUUUUGUAAAAAAUUGUACAUUUUAUGCUAGAAAAUUAAAUGCGCCUUUGUCGGGGAUGAAAUCAAGGUCACCGGGGCGACAGGCGGGAACACUUAGCACUAUCUUACAACGACUUCUUCAAUGCAUCUAGCUACAUUUAUAUCUAUAUCUAUAUCUAUACCUACUAUUAAACGAAGGUGAUAUUCUUGGUUUCGUCCCGCUUUGUUUGGACCCGCUUUAAUUAAUUUCACGUAUGCUAUUUGGUUUCGUUACUUGCCACCCGCUUUGGCCCAACGGGGAAAGCCCACCUGACGACGCGCGGUGGCCCAUGUCCGGAGAGUUGGCAAAACAUAAAAUAGCCGAUGGCAGGGUUCGACCUCACAACCCGCCAAUCGGCCACGCACAGUUUGUCCAACUGACCCAACUAGAUAUAUAAGAGGAUGUUUUUUCUCCCAUUGCAACGCACAAGCCUUUUUGCUAGUUAUGCUAAAGUCCCACAGGACCCGGCACAAGAAGACCAACUGUCCCCAAUGAAGUGAAUCAUAAAUUGGAAUAAUCCAACCUCUAGACGCCUGAACGAAGACCUGAUCCGAUCCACCGAAGACAAAGACAGGCUGAACCCCUCAAGAUCCGUUUAAUCUAAACGUAUCUGGAUCCAAAUUAAACGUCUCUGGAAAUAUUAGCACUUUUUCGACUAAUCUAAUCCAUGAGUAAACAGUAAGCAUGGCAAAUACGGUAUGCAUCUUAUACCGAUACCUAAGCAUGUGAGCAUGUACAGUACAUAAAACCGAAACAUCUAUGAACAACAUAUAUACGGCUAGCACAAGAACAAGCAAAUAGGGGAUGAACGAGUCAUACCCUCCGGUUGGCCAGGCCAACGCGGCGGCGGCAGCGGCAGCCUCGGCAUCAACCAAGGCCUUCUUCUUGGCGGCGGCAUCGUUAGCCAUGGGGUCGAUUGUCGGUGUCAAAACCGGCGGAUCUCGGGUAGGGGGUCCCGAACUGUGCGUCUAGGCAGAUGGUAACAGGAGGCAGGGGACACAAUGUUUUACCCAGGUUCGGGCCCUCUUUAUGGAGGUAAAACCCUACGUCCUGCUUGAUUAAUAUUGAUGAUAUGGGUAGUUCGAGAGUAGAUCUACCACGAGAUCAAGGAGGCUAAACCCUAGAAGCUAGCCUAUGGUAUGAUUGUCGUCCCUACGGACUAAAACCCUCCGGUUUAUAUAGACACCGGAGAGGGCAAGGGUUACACAGAGUCGGUUACAAUGGUAGGAAAUCUACAUAUUCGUAUCGCCAGGCUUGCCUUCCACGCCAAGAAAAGUCCCUUCCGGACACGGGACGAAGUCUUCAAUCUUGUAUCUUCAUAGUCCAGGAGUCCAGCCGAAGGUAUAGUCCGGCUAUCCGGACACCCCCUAAUCCAGGACUCCCUCAGUAGCCCCCGAACUAGGCUUCAAUGACGACGAGUCCGGUGCGCAGACUGUUUUCGGCAUUGCCAGGCGGGUUCUCCAAAUUCCGUGUACCUGUUGAAUAAUGUCUGGUUUCUUGUAGCGCUCCUUGGCUUCUACGCCCAAUAAUGGCCGUCUUCCACGUGUCAAACGAAUACGAAAAGUCAGGGUGUCUUUUUUUAUAUUUACACCCCUAGUCGCGUGAAUGAGCCGCCUAUUUAAGGGGACGAGGAUUUAGAUCCAAACCACACCUCCUCCCCUCCGCGAGUAUUCAUCAGAGCGUAUCCGACAGAGGUCCAUUCUAUCAUGGCCGGCCGCCGCAACUCCUCCUCUCGCCCUUCCAGCCCUCAGCCUGGAGAUUGGAAGAGGUGCUCCAUCCCGCACAGCCAGCUAGCCACGCUCCAGACCAAGGGAUUUCUUCCCCCGCCCUAUAUGGUCCCGGUUCGAGCCGGACUUGCCACCUAUAAUGGCGGAGAGCAAGCGGAGAGCGCCCCCAAUCCCUCCAAAGGAGAGCGAGUAUGCCUUGUCCCUUACUUAAUAAGAGGGCUCGGAUUUCCAAUUCAUCCGUUUCUCCGGGGGCUCCUGGAGUUCUAUGGCCUCCAACUGCACAACCUCACGCCUGCCUCCAUAUUGCAUAUCGUGGGCUUUGUAGCCCUUUGCGAGCUGUUUUUGGGCUGCGAGGCUCAUUUCACCCUGGGAAAAGGCUAUUCUGCCUUGUGCCCCGUUCUAAGAAGUGGUCAAUAUAUCAAGUGGGCGGAGCCGAAGUGUGGCGCAUCGCCGGGACCGGAUAUCUAUCCGGAACCCCAAAGAAGGCGUCCGAAGACUGGCCUUCGGAAUGGUUUUAUAUAGAGGAUGUCCCACAGCCAGAUCCUAUCCGGAUCGGCCUCCCUGAGUUUGACAGUGCUCCCCUAAAGAAGCGCCUCAGCUGGCGUCCACGGAGCCCUCAGAGGGAGAGCGACAAGGACGUUCUUUACCUGAUGGGCCGGAUAAGAUUGUUAGCUUAUUCUGGACUUACCAUGAUCGGGGUCAUGGCCGCAUGCAUCAUGCGAGGGGUGCAGCCGCUUCAGUAUAGAGGCCGCCCCAUGUGGGACUUCAACGGGGAGGACGACGCCACCCGCCACGGCCGUAAGGGGCCGGAUUCGGCUGCCGCUCUAAUAAAGAUCUUGUCCACUUUGUACAAGGGAGAAGAGGAGGAAUUUCUCCGCGUCAACCCACAGAGUGGAUUUUCUAUGUACAAUCCCCCAAGUUGGUGUUGGGGAACGUUGCAGAAAACAAAAAUUUUCCUACGGUUUCACCAAGAUCCAUCUAUGAGUUCAUCUAGCAACGAGUGAUCGGAUGCAUCUACAUACCUUUCUAGAUCGCGAGCGGAAGCGUUCAAAGAACGGGGAUGAGGUAGUCGAACACGACGUGAUCCAAAUCACCGGAGAUCCUAGCACCGAACGGACGGCACCUCCGCGUUCAACACACGUACAGUCAGCGUAACGUCUCCUUCUUCUUGAUCCAGCAAGAGGGAAGGAGAGGUUGAGGAAGAUGGCUCCGGCAGCAGCACGACGGCGUGGUGGAGAUGGAGCUGCAGUACUCCGUCAGGGCUUCGCCAAGCGCUAUGGAGGAGGAGGAGGUGUUGGAGAGGGAGAAGGAGGCAACCAAAGGCAUAGAUCAAAAGCCCUCCUUCCCCCACUAUAUAUAGGAGGGCCAAGGGGGGGGGCGCCGGCCCUAGGAGAUCCAAUCUCCUAGGGGGGCGGCGGCCAAGGGAGGUUUCCCUCCUCCCCAAGGCACCUAGGGGUGCCUUCCACUAGUGGGACUCCUCCCCUUUGGAAACCCUAGGCGCAUGGGCCUAUUGGGGCUGGUGCCCUUGGCCCAUGUAGGCCAAGGCACACCCCUACAGCCCAUGUGGCCCCCGGGGCAGGUGGCCCCACCCGGUGGACCCCCGGGACCCUUCCGGUGGUACCGGUACAAUACCGAUAACCCCGAAACUUGUCCCGAUGGCCGAAAUAGCACUUCCUAUAUAUAAUUCUUUACCUCCGGACCAUUCCGGAACUCCUCGUGACGUCCGGGAUCUCAUCCGAGACUCCGAACAACAUUAGGGUUACUGCAUAUACAUAUCCCUACAACCCUAGCGUCACCGAACCUUAAGUGUGUAGACCCUACGGGUUCGGGAGAUAUGUAGACAUGACCGAGACGACUCUCCGGUCAAUAACCAACAGCGGGAUCUGGAUACCCAUGUUGGCUCCCACAUACUCCACGAUGAUCUCAUCGGAUGAACCACGAUGUCGAGGAUUCAAGCAACCCCGUAUGCAAUUCCCUUUGUCAAUCGGUAUGUUACUUGCCCGAGAUUCGAUCGUCGGUAUCCCAAUACCUCGUUCAAUCUCGUUACCGGCAAGUCACUUUACUCGUACCGUAAUGCAUGAUCCCAUGACCAGACACUUGGUCACUUUGAGCUCAUUAUGAUGACGCAUUACCGAGUGGGCCCAGUGAUACCUCUCCGUCAUACGGAGUGACAAAUCCCAGUCUCGAUCCGUGUCAAACCAACAGACACUUUCGGAGAUACCUGUAGUGCACCUUUAUAGUCACACAGUUACGUUGUGACGUUUGGUACACCCAAAGCACUCCUACGGUACCCGGGAGUUACACGAUCUCAUGGUCAAAGGAAAAGAUACUUGACAUUGGAAAAGCUCUAGCAAAUGAACUACACGAUCUUGCGCUAUGCUUAGGAUUGGGUCUUGUCCAUCACAUCAUUCUCCUAAUGAUGUGAUCCCGUUAUCAAUGACAUCCAAUGUCCAUAGCCAGGAAACCAUGACUAUCUGUUGAUCAACGAGCUAGUCAACCAGAGGCUUACUAGGGACAUAUUAUGGUCUAUGUAUUCACACGUGUAUUACGAUUUCCGGAUAAUACAGUUAUAGCAUGAAUAAAGACAAUUAUCAUGAACAAAGAAAUAUAAUAAUAAUACUUUUAUUAUUGCCUCUAGGGCAUAUUUCCAACAGUCUCCCACUUGCACUAGAGUCAAUAAUCUAGUUACAUUGUUAUGAAUCGAACACCCAUGGAAUUCUGGUGUUGAUCAUGUUUUGCCCUAGGGAGAGGUUUAGUCAACGGAUCUGCUACAUUCAGGUCCGUAUGUACUUUACAAAUCUCUAUGUCUCCAUCUUGAACAUUUUCACGAAUGGAGUUGAAGCGACGCUUGAUGUGCCUUGUCUUCUUGUGAAACCUGGGCUCCUUGGCAAGUGCAAUAGCUCCAGUGUUGUCACAGAAGAGUUUGAUUGGCCCCGACGCAUUGGGUAUGGCUCCUAGGUCGGUGAUGAACUCCUUCACCCAUAUUGCUUCAUGUGCUGCCUCCGAGGCUGCCAUGUACUCCGCUUCACAUGUAGAUCCCGCCACGACGCUCUGCUUGCAGCUGCACCAGCUCACUGCUCCACCAUUCAACAUAUACACGUAUCCGGUUUGUGACUUAGAGUCAUCCAGAUCUGUGUCGAAGCUAGCGUCGACGUAACCCUUUACGACAAGCUCUUCGUCACCUCCAUAAACGAGAAACAUUUCCUUAGUCCUUUUCAGGUACUUCAGGAUAUUCUUGACCGUUGUCCAGUGUUCCUUGCCGGGAUUACUUUGGUACCUUCCUACCAAACUUACGGCAAGGUUUACAUCAGGUCUGGUACACAGCAUGUCAUAUAUAAUAGAUCCUAUGGCUGAAGCAUAGGGGAUGACACUCAUCUCUUCUUUAUCUUUUGCCGUGGUCGGACAUUGAGCUGAGCUCAAUUUCAUACCUUGCAAAACAGGAAAGAACCCUUUCUUGGACUGAUCCAUUUUGAACUUCUUCAAAAUCUUAUCAAGGUAUGUGCUUUGUGAAAGACCUAUAAGGCGUCUCGAUCUAUCCCUAUAGAUCUUGAUGCCUAAUAUAUAAGCAGCUUCUCCAAGGUCCUUCAUUGAAAAACUCUUAUUCAAGUAGGCCUUAAUGCUGUCCAAAAGUUCUAUAUCAUUUCCCAUCAAAAGUAUGUCAUCUACAUAUAAUAUGAGAAAUGCUACGGAGCUCCCACUCACUUUCUUGUAAACACAGGCUUCUCCAUAAGUCUGCAUAAACCCAAACGCUUUGAUCAUCUCAUCAAAGCGAAUGUUCCAACUCCGAGAUGCUUGCACCAGCCCAUAAAUCGAGCGUUGGAGCUUGCACACCUUGUCAGCAUUCUUAGGAUCGACAAAACCUUCCGGCUGCAUCAUAUACAAUUCUUCCUUAAGGAAACCAUUAAGGAAUGCCGUUUUGACAUCCAUUUGCCAUAUCUCAUAAUCGAAGAAUGCGGCAACUGCUAACAUAAUUCGGACGUACUUCAGCUUCGCUACCGGUGAGAAAGUCUCAUCGUAGUCAACCCCUUGAACUUGUCGAUAACCCUUAGCGAUAAGCCGAGCUUUAUAGAUGGUCACAUUACCAUUCGCGUCUGUCUUCUUCCUAAAGAUCCAUUUAUUUUCUAUGGCUCGCCGUUCAACGGGCAAGUCAGUCAAAGUCCAUACUUCGUUUUCAUACAUGGAUCCUAUCUCGGAUUUCAUGGCUUCUAGCCAUUUGUCGGAAUCCGGGCCCGCCAUUGCUUCUUCAUAGUUCGAAGGUUCACCGUUGUCUAACAACAUGAUUUCCAAGACAGGGUUGCCGUACCACUCUGGUGCGAAACGUGUCCUUGUGGACCUUCGAAUUUCAGCAGGAGCUUGAUCAGAAGUAUCUUGAUCAUCAUCAUUAACUUCCUCUCUAGUCGGUGCAGGCACCUCAGGAACAUUUUCUUGAGUUGUGCCCUUUUCCGGUUCAAGAGGUAAUACUUCAUCAAGUUCUACUUUCCUCCCACUUACUUCUUUCGAGAGAAACUCUUUCUCCAGAAAGAGUCUGUUCUUGGCAACAAAGAUCUUGCCUUCGGAUCUUAGGUAGAAGGUAUACCCAAUGGUUUCCUUAGGGUAUCCUAUGAAGACGCAUUUUUCCGACUUGGGUUCGAGCUUCUCAGGUUGAAGUUUCUUGACAUAAGCAUCGCAUCCCCAAACUUUUAGAAACGACAGCUUAGGUUUCUUCCCAAACCAUAAUUCAUACGUGUCAUCUCAACGGAUUUAGAUGGAGCCCUAUUUAAAGUGAAUGUAGUUGUCUCUAGAGUGUAUCCCCAAAAUGAUAGCGGUAAAUCGGUAAGAGACAUCAUAGACCGCACCAUAUCCAAUAGAGUGCGAUUACGACGUUCGGACACACCGUUACGCCGAGGUGUUCCAGGCGGUGUGAGUUGUGAAACGAUUCCACAUUUCCUUAAGUGUGUACCAAAUUCGUGACUUAAAUAUUCUCCCCCACGAUCUGAUCAUAGGAACCUUAUCUUUCGGUCACGUUGAUUCUCUACCUCAUUCUGAAAUUCCUUGAACUUUUCAAAGGUCUCAGACUUGUGUUUCAUUAAGUAGACAUACCCAUAUCUACUCAAGUCCUCAGUGAGAGUGAGAACAUAACGAUAUCCUCCGCGAGCCUCAACGCUCAUUGGACCGCACACAUCAGUAUGUAUGAUUUCCAACAAGUUGGUCGCUCGCUCCAUUGUUCCGGAGAAUGGAGUCUUGGUCAUCUUGCCCAUGAGGCAUGUCUCGCAUGUGCCAAACGAUUCAUAAUCUAGAGACUCUAAAAGUCCAUCAGCAUGGAGCUUCUUCAUGCGCUUGACACCAAUGUGACCAAGGCGGCAGUGCCACAAGUAUAUGGGACUAUCGUUAUCAACUUUACAUCUUUUGGUAUUCACACCAUGAAUAUGUGUAAUAUUACGUUCGAGAUUCAUUAAGAAUAAACCAUUGACCAUCGAAGCAUGACCAUAAAACAUAGCUCUCAUAUAAAUAGAACAACCAUUAUUCUCGGAUUUAAAUGAGUAGCCAUCUCGUAUUAAAUGAGAUCCUGAUACAAUGUUCAUGCUCAAACUUGGCACUAAAUAACAAUUAUUGAGGUUUAUAACUAAUCCCGUAGGUAAAUGUAGAGGUAGCGUGCCGACGGCGAUCACAUCGACCUUGGAACCAUUCCCGACGCGCAUCGUCACCUCGUCCUUCGCCAGUCUCCGUUUAUUCCGCAGCUCCUGCUGUGAGUUACAAAUGUGAGCAACGGCACCGGUAUCAAAUACCCAGGAGCUACUACGAGUACUGGUAAGGUACACAUCAAUUACAUGUAUAUCAAAUAUACCUUUGGUGUUGCCGGCCUUCUUGUCCGCUAAGUAUUUGGGGCAGUUCCGUUUCCAAUGACCCUUCCCUUUGCAAUAAAAGCACUCCGUCUCAGGCUUGGGUCCAUUCUUUGACUUCUUCCCGGCAGCUUGCUUGCCGGGCGCGGCAACUUCCUUGCCGUCCUUCUUGAAGUUCUUUUUACCCUUGCCCUUCUUGAACUUAGUGGUUUUAUUCACCAUCAACACUUGAUGUUCCUUCUUGACUUCUACCUCUGUUGAUUUCAGCAUAGCAAAUACUUUAGGAAUGGUCUUUUCCAUCCCCUGCAUAUUGAAGUUCAUCACAAAGCUCUUGUAGCUUGGUGGAAGCAACUGGAGGAUUCUGUCAAUGACCGCAUCAUCCGGGAGAUUAACUCCCAGCUGAGUCAAGCGGUUAUGUAACCCAGACAUAGUGAGUAUGUGCUCACUGACAGAACUAUUUUCCUCCAUCUUACAGCUGAAGAAUUUGUCGGAGACUUCAUAUCUCUCAAUCCGGGCAUGAGCUUGAAAACCCAUUUUUAGCUCUUCGAACAUCUCAAAUGCUUCAUGUCUCUCAAAACACUUUUGGAGCCCCGGCUCUAGGCUGUAAAGCAUGCCGCACUGAACGAGGGAGUAGUCAUCAGCACGUGUCUGCCAAGCGUUCAUAACGUCUUGGUUCUGUGGGACGGGUGGAUCACCUAGCGGUGCUUGUAGGACAUAAUCUUUCUUGGCAGCUAUGAGGAUGAUCCUCAGGUUCCGGACCCAGUCCGUGUAGUUGCUGCCAUCGUCUUUCAGCUUGGUUUUAUCUAGGAACGCGUUGAAGUUGAGGACUACGUUGGCCAUUUGAUCUACAAGACAUAUUGUAAAGUUUUUAGACUAAGUUCAUGAUAAUUAAGUUCAUCUAAUCAAAUUAUUAAUGAACGCCCACUCAGAUUAGACAUCCCUCUAGUCAUCUAAGUGUUACACGAUCCGAGUCGACUAGGCCGUGUCCGAUCGUCACGUGAGACGGACUAGUCAUCGUCGGUGAACAUCUUCAUGUUGAUCGUAUCUUCCAUACGACUCGUGUUCAAGCUUUCGGUCUCUGUGUUCCGAGGCCAUGUCUGUACAUGCUAGGCUCGUCAAGUUAACCCUAAGUGUUUUGCAUGUGUAAAACUGUCUUACACCCGUUGUAUGUGAACGUAAGGAUCUAUCACACCCGAUCAUCACAUGGUGCUUCGAAACGACGAACUUUAGCAACGGUGCAAAGUUAGGGGAGAACACUUCUUGAAAUUGUUGUGAGGGAUCAUCUUAUUUACUACCGUCGUUCUAAGUAAACAAGAUGCAAAACAUGAUAAACAUCACAUGCAAUCAAAUAAUAAAUGUGACAUCAUAUGGCUAAUAUCACAUAGCUCCUUUGAUCUCCAUCUUGGGGCUCCAUGAUCAUCUUGUCACCGGCUUGACACCAUGAUCUCCAUCAUCAUGAUCUCCAUCAUCGUGUCUCCAUGAAGUUGCUCGCUAACUAUUACUUCUACUACUAUGGCUAACGCGUUUAGCAAUAAAGUAAAGUAAUUCACAUGGCGUUUCUCAAUGACACGCAGGUCAUACAAAAAAUAAAGACAACUCCUAUGGCUCCUGCCGAUUGUCAUACUCAUCGACAUGCAAGUCGUGAUUCUUAUUACAAUAGCAUGAAAAACUCAUACAUCACAUAUAGAUCAUUCAUCAUUCAUCACAACUUUGGCCAUAUCAUAUCACAAAGCACUUGCUGCAAAAACAAGUUAGACGUCUUCUAAUUGUUGUUGCAAGUUUUACGUGGCUGAAUUAGGGUUCUAGCAAGAACGUUUUCUUACCUACGUGAAAGCCACAACGUGAUUUGUCAGCUUCUAUUUACCCUUCAUAAGGACCCUUUUCAUCGAAUCCGCUCCAACUAAAGUAGGAGAGACAGACACCCGCCAGCCACCUUAUGCAACUAGUGCAUGUUAGUCGGUGGAACCGGUCUCACGCAAGCAUACGUGUAAGGUUGGUCCGGGCCGCUUCAUCCCACAAUACCGUUGAAGCAAGAUAAGACUAGUAGCGGCAAGAAAUUUGACAACAUCUACGCCCACAACAAAUUGUGUUCUACUCGCGCAAGAAGAACUACGCAUAGACCUAGCUCUGAUACCACUGUUGGGGAACGUUGCAGAAAACAAAAAUUUUCCUACGGUUUCACCAAGAUCCAUAUAUGAGUUCAUCCAGCAACGAGUGAUCGGAUGCAUCUACAUACCUUUGUAGAUCACGAGCGGAAGUGUUCAAAGAACGGGGAUGAGGUAGUCGAACACGACGUGAUCCAAAUCACCGGAGAUCCUAGCACCGAAGGGACGGCACCUCCGCGUUCAACACACGUACGAUCAGCGUAACAUCUCCUUCUUCUUGAUCCAGCAAGAGGGAAGGAGAGGUUGAGGAAGAUGGCUCCUGCAGCAGCACGACGGCGUGGUGGAGAUGGAGCUGCAGUACUCCGUCAGGGCUUCGCCAAGCGCUAUGGAGGAGGAGGAGGUGUUGGAGAGGGAGAAGGAGGCAACCAAAGGCAUAGAUCAAAAGCCCUCCUUCCCCCACUAUAUAUAGGAGGGCCAAGGGAGGGGCGCCGGCCCUAGGAGAUCCAAUCUCCUAGGGGGGGCGGCGGCCAAGGGAGGUUUCCCUCCUCCCCAAGGCACCUAGGGGUGCCUUCCACUAGUGGGACUCCUCCCCUUUGGAAACCCUAGGUGCAUGGGCCUAUUGGGGCUGGUGCCCUUGGCCCAUGUAGGCCAAGGCACACCCCUACAGCCCAUGUGGCCCCCGGGGCAGGUGGCCCCACCCGGUGGACCCCCAGGACCCUUCCGGUGGUCCCGGUACAAUACCGAUAAUCCCGAAACUUGUCCCGAUGGCCGAAAUAGCACUUCCUAUAUAUAAUUCUUUACCUCCGGACCAUUCCGGAACUCCUCGUGACGUCCGGGAUCUCAUACGGGACUCCGAACAACAUUCGGGUUACUGCAUAUACAUAUCCCUACAACCCUAGCGUCACCGAACCUUAAGUGUGUAGACCCUACGGGUUCGGGAGAUAUGUAGACAUGACCGAGACGACUCUCCGGUCAAUAACCAACAGCGGGAUCUGGAUACCCAUGUUGGCUCCCACAUACUCCACGAUGAUCUCAUCGGAUGAACCACGAUGUCGAGGAUUCAAGCAACCCCGUAUGCAAUUCCCUUUGUCAAUCGGUAUGUUACUUGCCCGAGAUUCGAUCGUCGGUAUCCCAAUACCUCGUUCAAUCUCGUUACCGGCAAGUCACUUUACUCGUACCGUAAUGCAUGAUCCCGUGACCAGACACUUGGCCACUUUGAGCUCAUUAUGAUGACGCAUUACCGAGUGGGCCCAGUGAUACCUCUCCGUCAUACGGAGUGACAAAUCCCAGUCUCGAUCUGUGUCAACCCAACAGACACUUUCGGAGAUACCUGUAGUGCACCUUUAUAGUCACCCAGUUACGUUGUGAUGUUUGGUACACCCAAAGCACUCCUACGGUAUCCGGGAGUUACACGAUCUCAUGGUCAAAGGAAAAGAUACUUGACAUUGGAAAAGCUCUAGCAAACAAACUACACGAUCUUCCACUAUGCUUGGGAUUGGGUCUUGUCCAUCACAUCAUUCUCCUAAUGAUGUGAUCCCGUUAUCAAUGACAUCCAAUGUCCAUAGCCAGGAAACCAUGACUAUCUGUUGAUCAACGAGCUAGUCAACUAGAGGCUUACUAGGGACAUAUUAUGGUCUAUGUAUUCACACGUGUAUUACGAUUUCCGGAUAAUACAGUUAUAGCAUGAAUAAAGACAAUUAUCAUGAACAAAGAAAUAUAAUAAUAAUACUUUUAUUAUUGCCUCUAGGGCAUAUUUCCAACAGUUGGGUAAGUGGACACUUUUACUUGCCCAUCCGUUUUAUAUUCCCAUUGUUAAAUAUUCAGUCUAACGACUUCAACGUAGGAACUGUGCCAGGCUGUUAAAGAAAUAAACAGCCCUCCUCCACAACCCGAGGAUCUGGGACGGUUCCUCGACCCAGCCUCUCAAGAGGAUCCGGACUUGUCUAUGGAGCUGAUUGAUGGGGUGUUUCAUCAAUUGAGCAAGGACAACGCCUUGGUGGCCAUUACGGCCGAUUACCCAGGGCUACUCCCAGCCUCACAGGUAACUGAGACCGAAGUCCCAGCACUUUGAAAAGGGAUCUAUCCUCGCGUGUUUUUGAUUGCCAUAUGACAACCGUGUUUUGCAGGGGAGGUCCUUGAGACGGGAGGCCGAGCCUGCGGCGACUAGCCAAUGAGGGGCGGCAAGGCCCCGCGGGCUGAAAAGAAGUGCGGUCCGGACUGAGACGCCAACGCAAAGGUAUAGUGCGCCAUCUUAUUCCCAGGUGUUAUUCCUUCAAGGCAUACUAACGCUCGUUCUCUCUUCAGGAUGAAGAGACCUCGCCGGACUAUAUCCGGAGAGGUUGCCAAUCGCGCCUCCACCAGCCAGGCUCCAAAGCCUGGUCCGGAAGCGGAGGCGAACACGAGGCGCGCACCGGACGCUCCUCCGACAGAGGAUGCGGACAGGCUGUCUGCCACCAAUUUCGAGGUGGAGAGUGCCAUGAACCACAGGCGUCGCCGGACAGUUCUUCGCGACGCUUGUUUCUCCCAAGAGGCAUUGGAUGCCUUCAAUUCAGGAGAUGCAUACCUCCGUGCCGCUCAAAAUGGUCUAGCCAGAGCCACGGAGCAAUAUGUAAAAGACAUACAGGUAAGAAAUUUUUGGUAAUUAUAUAUAUACCAGUAGCCCCCGAGACUUGAAACCGUUAGAAUAACUGAUUUAAGGAUCAUUUGUUAUGCAGGUUCUUACAGAAAAGAAUACCCUACUGUCCCAGGAGCUGGAAGAGUGCAAAGCCCAACUUGAGGCCGCACUAGACGCGGCGGGGGAGCCCAAGGAAACCCUCUCUGGUAAUAUACGCUUCGAAAGAUAAGUAUUUUGCGAAGUGUGGCGUGGGUGCAAAUCUGACAAAUGAAAUUGCAGAUGGCGCCGGAUUAAAUCCGGAAGAGCAACAACUCCGACGCCAGCUGAAGGCUGGUGAGAGCGUGCUGACAAAGGUGAGGCGGGAGAAGAACGAUCUCCAAGAUGCCAACACCAAGCUGGGUGUUGAACUGAAGGAUGUUUGUACCCAUCUGUUGGACUCCGUGAAUGAGAAUCAGCGGCUUCGAAGCGGCAUAUAUAGUAAGUGCUUAAACGAACUUUGAAAAAAGAGUUCAGCGAGGAAGUCGACUAACAGAGUAAUGUCUGUAGGUAUGCUAACAGGUCGUCCUGCAGAGGAAAUGCCCGGUUCUACGGGUGACCUUUUUCCCGAGCUCUCACAACUGCACGAGCGAGUUCGGCAGGUGAUGCAAAGUGUCGCCCAGGCCUUGUGGCCAUCCGUCUCCAUGCCCGAAGGCCUUGGAGAGCUUGUAGAGAAGCUGAAGGGAGCGCGGCGGCGCUUCCGAUUGUGGAAGAUGUCAGCCUACCGUCAAGGUGCUAGGGAGGCCUGGGCCAUGGUGAAUAUGCGGUACACGAAGGCUGACCCAAACCACAUGGCCGAGGUCAGACCCGUGGGGCCCGAUGGGAAGGAGAUCCCUGUGAGCUUAGUAUACGGCCAAGUAGAAUUGGCCGCAAAGUAUUCCCAACAGGACUGUAAACUAGACAGCCUGUUAGAUGGUAUUGAAGAGGAAUACAAUCAGUCAGAUUGACUAUGUAACUAUAAUUGACAUGUGUAAUGCCUUCUAGCCGGAUUGUAGAUCGUUUGUCAUGGACGACCUUUUCGCUUCAACCUCGGGACCUGACGGUCCGGAGUGUGUCUGAAUACCCUCGCGGUUAUAUAAGAACCGGGGUAUGCAUGGAGACGAGGUGUAGGGGUCAUUAGUGCUUGAACAGACAAGUGCCCAACUAGUUAUGUUAUAUUACAUGGUUAGUAAGAAACAUGUUCUAGGGAGAAUAGUUCCGUUAGGGGUUCCUUUCCCUAGGAGGCAUGCCCUAAAGUGCAUGUCCAUUCUCCGAAAAGAGAUGCAGGAAAAACAUCUGGGGGCGUAUAGAUAAAUAAGUGAAAAAAAUGUCAUCUUUAGUUCACCGACCGAAUAUUACCUUAAGAACGCUAGCUUUCGGCUUCACCCAGUCUAAGGUACACAUCCGGCUGACUCGGCAGUAACAAUCGCAGAGGUGCUCCCUUUACCACCUUGCCGAACAAUCGGGAACGUAGGGGUAAGCACAGGAGCCAGGCAACCCAUCUUGGCCAAAACUUAAGUCAUAUCGAUGCAUAUAAUGGUGAAUAAAAGGUACAUGCGGAAGUGUGACACAUAUGUUGGGCAUGAAGCCCGUAUAAAUAAGCUUCUGUUUAAGGAAGCCCCCAGGUUUAAUGAGCGCGGAUAGCGCAUCACUGUAUGAGCCUUUAAAGGCUAUAAGAGCGAGAGAGGAGAAGGAGAGAAAUGUAAGACAAAAAGUAUAUAAAAAAUGGACAGAGGAAGGAGACGAACAUAGAGUCCGGCGCUAGGCAUAGAAUCUUCGGAGACGGGCUGCGUUCCAUGGGUUCAGCUCGAAUCGGUUAUCCGAUGCAUCUCGCAGGCGGUACGCUCCACCAGUCAGGACUUGGUCAAUUAUGAAGGGACCUUCCCACUUGGGCUUGAGUUUGUCCUUUUUCUUGUCUGGCAGGCGUAGAACUAAUUCGCCAAUGUUGUAAUUUUUGGCCCAUACUUCUCUGCUUUGGUAUCUUCGAGCCUGCUGUUGAUAGAAUGCGGAACGGGCUUUUGCCACGUCACGCUCUUCCUCCAAGGCGUCCAAAUUGUCAUGCCGAUCGAGCUCGGCUUCUCUUUCUUCAUACAUGCGCACUCGAGGUGAGUCAUGAAUUAUGUCGCAGGGCAAAACUGCCUCUGCGCCAUACACCAUGAAGAAUGGUGUGUAUCCAGUGGUGCGAUUCGGCGUGGUCCGCAACCCCCAGAGUACGGAGUCGAACUCCUCUACCCAGUGCGUAUUAGAUUCCUUAAGGGACCGCACUAAUCUGGGUUUGAUGCCGCUCAUGAUAAGACCAUUUGCACAUUCGACCUGGCCGUUAGUUUGUGGGUGAUAGACGGAAGCAUAAUCGAGCUUGAUGCCCAUGUUUUUGCACCAGAGUUUUACCUCGUCGGCCGUAAAGUUCGUGCCGUUAUCAGUGAUGAUGUUGUGGGGGACGUCGUAACGGUGUACAACCCCGGAUAUGAAGUCUAUCACCGGUCCGGAUUCGACUGUCUUAAGAGGCUUGGCUUCUAUCUAUUUGGUGAACUUAUCCACCAUGACCAGUAAGUAUUUUUUCUUGUGGGUUCCGCCUUUAAGGGGUCCAACCAUGUCAAGCCCCCAGACCGCGAAGGGCCAAGUGAUGGGGAUAGUUUGGAGGGCGGUGGGUGGCAUAUGGCUUUGGUUUGCAAAAAGCUGGCAACUGACGCAUCGUUCGACUAAGUCCUGGGCGUCUGCCCGGGCCGUCGGCCAAUAAAAGCCUGUACGGAAGGCCUUGCUUACAAGGGACCGAGCUGCAGCGUGAUGACCAUCGAGUCCGGCAUGAAUUUCAGCCAGGAGGUUUCGCCCUUCCUCUUUGGAGAUGCACCUUUAAAGGACUCCGGUAGCGCUUUUCUUAUAAAGCUCUCCCUCAUGGACUUUAUAGGCUUUAGAUCGCCGCACUAUGCAGCGUGCCUCAUUUUGGUCGUCUGGGAGUUCCUGCCUAGUAAGGUAGGCGAGGAAUGGUUCUGUCCACGGGGCGAUGACGGCCAUUAUUACGUGGGCUGAAGGUGUUAUUUCAUUGGCAGAGCCUCCAAUUAUGUCAGAGUGUUCGGCGUCGGGCAGUGCGGUUGGGUCCGGGCUGUUAUUGCCGGGUUCCCCUUCCCAUACUACGGAUGGCUUGAACAGCCUUUCCAAGAAGAUGUUGGGGGGGACUACAUCGUGUUUUGCGCCGAUGCGUGCCAGGACAUCUGCCGCCUGAUUAUUUUCCCGGGCUAUAUGGUGAAAUUCGAGCCCUUCGAACCGAGCUGACAUUUUUAGGACGGCGUUGCGAUAAGCUGCCAUUUUUGGAUCCUUGGCAUCAAAGUCUCCAUUUAUUUGGGAUAUUGCGAGGUUCGAGUCCCUGCGCACCUCUAGGCGUUGAAUGCCCAUGGAUACCGCCAUCCGAAGACCAUGUAAAAGGGCCUCAUAUUCAGCUGCAUUGUUGGAGUCUGUGUACAUUAUCUGGAGUAUGUAUUGAACUGUGUCUCCUGUGGGGGAUGUCAAAAUGACGCCAGCCCCUAGACCGGCCAACAUUUUGGAGCCGUCGAAGUGCAUGACCCAGUUUGAAUAUGUGUCGUACUCUUUAGGGAGUUCGGCCUCCGUCCAUUCUGCGACGAAGUCGGCCAAAACUUGCGACUUGAUAGCUCGCCGUGGCUUGUAAGUUAUGUCGAACGGGAGGAGCUCAAUGGCCCAUUUUGCAAUACGGCCCGUCGCGUCUCGGUUGUUUAUAAUAUCGUUAAGUGGCACUUCCGAGGCUACUGUUAUUGAACACUCUUGAAAGUGGUGUCGCAGCUUCCGGGAUGCCAUAAAUACCGCGUGCGCAAUCUUUUGAUAAUGCGGGUACCGUGACUUGCACGGAGUAAGGACAGUGGAUACAUAGUACACCGACUUUUGAAGGGGGAAUUUGUGUCCGUCCGUUUCUCGUUCAACGACGAGCACUGCGCUUACGACCUGAUCGGUUCCUGCAAUGUAUGUUCGGAGGUUACCGAAUGUUAGCCUCAAGUCGUCUACUAGAUAUUCGACAUGUCUUGUUUUAACGACCACAUCAUCUACGUAUGCCUCCACUGUUUUGCCGAUCUGGUUUGCCAGACAUGUUUGAAUCAUGCGCUGAUAUGUUGCACCGGCGUUUUUGAGCCUGAAGGGCAUUGUGUUGAAGCAAAAUGGGCCGUAUAGUGUGAUGAAUGCCGUUGCGGCUUGGUCUGACUCUGCCAUCUUUAUUUGAUGGUAGCCGGAGUAUGUGUCGAGGAAACACAACGAAUCGUGUCCUGCGGUAGCGUCGAUAAUUUGAUCGAUGCGGGGAAGAGGGAAGGGAUCCUUUGGGCAAGCCUUGUUAAGGUCUUUAAAUCAACGCACAGGCGCCAAGAUUUGUCCUUCUUUGGUACCAUCACGAGGUUUGCUAGACAGUCUGGGUGUUUUAUAUCUUUGAUGAAUCCGGCCUCCAGUAGCUUGGUUAGUUCCUCUCCCAUGGUCUGUCUCUUAGAUUCGGAAAAAUGCCGAAGAGCCUGUUUGACUGGCUUGAAUCCUUUUAGGAUAUUUAAGCUGUGUUCAGCCAGCCUGCGUGGGAUUCCUGGCAUGUCUGAAGGGUGCCAGGCGAAAAUGUCCCAGUUCUCUCGUAGGAACUCUCGUAGUGCGGCGUCUACAUCAGGGUUUAACUGUGCUCCGAUGGAAGCUGCUUUAUUGGGGUCCGUUGGGUGGACCUGGAAUUUGACUAUUUCGUCCGCCGGUUUAAAGGAGGUGGACUUGGAUCUUUUGACGAGUAUCACAUCGUCCGUAUUCACCGUGGAGCGCAGCGCAGUCAGUUCCUCAGCCGCUAGGGCUUCGGAUAGCACCUCGAGGGCCAGUGCGGCUGUCUUGUUUUCGACGCGGAGUGCUAUGUCCGGAUCACUAGCGAGAGUGAUGAUUCGGUUAGGCCCGGGCAUCUUGAGCUUCAUGUACCCGUAAUGGGGUAUUGCUUGGAAGAUUGUAAAUGCUUCCCGCCCUAGCAGAGCGUGAUAUCCGCUACUGAACGGGGCCACUUGGGACGUGACCUCUUCGGACCUAUAAUUAUCCGGCGUGCCGAACACCACAUCUAGUGUGAUUUUUCCUGUAUAGCACGCUUCCCGACUGGGGAUUAUUCCUCUAAAGGUUGUGCUGCUUCGCCCAAUGCAGUUCCGGUCUAUUUCCAUUUUUUGAAGGGUUUCCUCAUAAAUGAGGUUCAAUCUGCUGCCGCCAUCCAUGAGUACCUUGGUAAGACGAAAGCCGUCCACUAUUGGACUGAGGACCAAUGAGGCUGGUGCUCGGGCUGUUCAGAAUUUAGGUUCAUCACUGGCGUUAAAUGUAAUAGCCGUGUCACUCCAUGGGUUUAUUGUUGCUACUUGGUAGACUUCGGCAAGGAUGCGGAGUGUUCUUUUUCGCAUAUUAUUUGAUGCGAAAGUCUCAAAGACUGUUGAUACCGUACUGGUGUCUCUGGGGUGGCUUUCUGUGGCUUCUGGAAUUAGAAGAUCUUCGCCAAUUUUUGCCACCUGCCGGAGUAUCCAACAUGCUCUAAAGCUAUGAGUUGGUGUGGCGCCCUCUGCACUGUGAAUUUUAUAGGGUCCAUUAAGCCAUCCUUCCAGCACGGUUCCGUGCCCUGUAGAGGGCUUUUGCUUUUUGGUAUUGAACCCGGGUGUCUGGCGAUGAUGCACCCUUUUAUUUCGGACUAGGUUUGUAUUCAAGGCCGGAUUGUCCCAAAAUUUUAUUUCGGUUUUCCAGGCGCUUUCCAUCACAUAGUACUUUCGUACUAUGGACGCCAAGUCAGCGAAGCGUGUAAUAUCACGGCGACUUAUGGCGUUGAGGAUUCCCUUGUCCGUGCAAUUAUUGCAGAAGAAUGAAAUUGCGUCUUCCUCGCGACAGUCCUUUAUCCUGUUCAUAAUCAGGAGGAAUCUGGCCCAGUAAUGAUGUACUGUUUCUUCGGGCUCUUGCCUAAUUUGAGAUAGAUCGCUUAUGUAUGGGUGGGUGGGUGGAAUCAAAUCCGAAACCUCACCCAAUCUGAGACCCAGGGGCCAAGGAGUUUCCGAACUCGGAAGUUUGGAUUCUUGGAUGCUGUCCAAUGAAUCUAGCCCAUCGCCCGACUUUAAGUUCAGGUCUUGAGUGAUGUCCUCCCCUCCGCGGGUAUCCGGCUUGGAGGGAUCGGGAAUCCGGACAUAGCUAGUCCUUAAUAUAGAUGAAGGGUCGCCGCACUGUCCCUCUACCACAGCAACGUGAUGGGUGACCUGGGGAGAGUUAAUCUCUCUCAGAUCGGGUUUAGGCCCAAUCUGGUCGUAAUCCGUAGCGACUCCCAAGGCGGCGAAGCGAUCCAAGAGCUUGUUUAGGGAAGAGAGCUCCAUUGGAUCUAGCUGCUCGGCGAAUUCCGAGCUGACAUGAAGAUUCCUUUCGAUGACCCGAGAGGUCAUCGUCGACGCAGCAGCCGAACAGGCGGUCAUAAGGAAACCACCUAGCCUGAGAGUCUGGCCGACAGCCAAAGCUCCCUUAGCAACGGUGCCGUCUUUAAAGAUGGGCUGAGGCAUCCUUCCUAAUGGAGACGGCACAGAGGAACUCUCAAUGAAAGCACCAAUGUCGGUGUCAAAACCGGCGGAUCUCGGGCAGGGGGUCCCGAACUAUGCGUCUAGGCGGAUGGUAACAGGAGGCAGGGGACACAAUGUUUUACCCAGGUUCAGGCCCUCUUUAUGGAGGUAAAACCCUACAUCCUGCUUGAUUAAUAUUGAUGAUAUGGGUAGUACAAGAGUAGAUCUACCACGAGAUCAAGGAGGCUAAACCCUCCAAGCUAGCCUAUGGUAUGAUUGUCGUCCCUACAGACUAAAACCCUCCGGUUUAUAUAGACACCGGAGAGGGCUAGGGUUACACAGAGUCGGUUACAAUGGUAGGAAAUCUACAUAUCCGUAUCGCCAAGCUUGCCUUCCACGCCAAGGAAAGUCCCUUCCGGACACGGGACGAAGUCUUCAAUCUUGUAUCUUCAUAGUCCAGGAGUCCGGCCGAAGGUAUAGUCCGGCUAUCCGGACAUCCCCUAAUCUAGGACUCCCUCAUCGAUGUAGGGGAAGUAGUGGAAGCAGAGGCGGACGGAGACGGGGACGGAUCGGGAGCAGACGCGUCGAGACGCUCCCCAAAAAUCCUAUUGCCGUUCUCCCGGGCAGGAUCUCAAACGACAGGAUUCCGGAGGCACCUGCUCUCCCGACCAACCGUGCAUGAGGUUGUCGGGAUGGGAUCGCCAUAAGCAGUACAGUGAGAGGAACAGUAGAUGACGGCAAGGAUUGUGCGAGAGGGAGUGAGUGAACUGAGUUAGGGUUCACUCCAUUGGCCAGCGCCUUCUUAUAUAGGCCGUCGGCUAGAUGGGCCUAGGCUCAGGCUCAUGGCCGACUCCGCGAACAGCCCACGGUCCAACUCUCGGACAGUGGCACUUCCGUAAGCGACUCGUUAAUUAAUCCAAUAUUAAUUAAGCAUUCCUGAAAGGCAAAAAUAAGCUUCGGCUCGGCUCAUUCCCGCAACCCGCGGCGUGCGCGCGUCGUGACGAGGCGAGGCGGGCGGCGGAGGAGGAGGAGCGCGCGUGUACAACUCCUAUUCCCAAGCUCCCAAUAGCAAGUGAUGGAGCAGCCCUUAUAAAGAGGUCUCACUCUUCUUACUGUAGCAACAUGAUACUAAACAUCCCACACUUCCCACCACUUACCAUACACAUGCAUGGGCCUUAGAGAUUAACCAAGGAUUGUUGUCUUAUAUGGGCCUAAGCCCAUCCAUAAUCCAACAACCCCCCACCAGAUCUCGAGGCACAUAAGUUUGUCAACUAUUCCAAACAAUGUUUGAUAUACCAGAAUUUUUAGUGGAGACUGUUAAGUUGAAAUUCCACCUAGAACAAUAGGAUUAGACCUCUUCACAACUGAAGAAUGGACUAUGCCUUGAAUUGUCAGUUUGGCGUGCAGAAGUUUCGCCUAUUGUCAGCUGAUACGUGGCUGCCGAAGGCUAAACCCCACGGGUGGAGCUUAUUAGUCAUACUCCGUACCUUGUCAUGAGCUUCCUAGAGAUCACCCAAUCUCAUAGACCGUGACAGUGAAGGAAAUAUGCCCUAGAGGCAAUAAUAAAGUUGUUAUUUAUAUUUCCUUAUAUCAUGAUAAAUGUUUAUUAUUCAUGCUAGAAUUGUAUUAACCGGAAACUUAGUACAUGUGUGAAUACAUUGACAAACAGAAUGUCACUAGUGUGCCUCUACUUGGCUAGCUCGUUGAAUUAAUGAUGGUUAUGUUUCCUAACCAUAGACAUCAGUUGUCAUUUGAUUAAUGUGAUCACAUCAUUAUAGAAUGAUGUGAUUGACUUGACCCAUCCGUUAGCUUAGCACGAUGAUCGUUUAGUUUGUUGCUAUUGCUUUCUCCAUAGCUUAUACAUGUUCCUAUGACUAUGAGAUCAUGCAACUCCCGAAUACCGGAGGAACACUUAGUGUGCUAUCAAACAUCACAACGUAACUGGGUGACUAUAAAGAUGCUCUACAGGUGUCUCUGAUGGUGUUUGUUGAGUUGGCAUAGAUCAAGAUUAGGAUUUGUCACUCCGAGUAUCGGAGAGGUAUCUCUAGGCCCUCUCGGUUAUGCACAUCACUAUAAGCCUUGCAAGCAAUGUGACUAAUAAGUUAGUUACGGGAUGAUGCAUUACGGAACGAGUAAAGAGACUUGCUGGUAACGAUAUUGAAAUAGGUAUUGAGAUACCGACAAUCGAAUCUCGGGCAAGUAACAUACCGAUGACAAAGGGAAAAACGUAUGUUGUUGUGUGGUUUGACCGAUGAAGAUCUUCUUAGCAUAUGUAGGAAACUAUAUGAGCAUCCAGGUUCCACUAUUGGUUAUUGACCGGAGAUGAGUCUCGGUCAUGUCUACAUAGUUCUCGAACGCGUAGGGUCCGCACGCUUAACGUUCGGUGAUAAUUGGUAUUAUGAGUUUAUGUGUUUUGAUGUACCGAAGGUAGUUCGGAGUCUCGGAUAUGAUCACAGACAUGAUGAUGAGUCUCAAAAUGGUUGAGACAUAAAGAUCGAUAUAUUGGAUGGCUAUAUUCGGACACGGAAGUGUUCUGGGCGAUUUCGAAGAAAACCGGAGUGCCGGAGGGUUACCGGACCCCCCCGGGGAACUAAUGGGCCACAUGGGCCUUAGUGGAGAGAGAGAGAGGGCCAGCCAGGGUAGGCCACGCGCCCCCUCCCCCUCUAGUACGAAUUGGACUAGGGAAGGGGGGGGGGCGCCCUCAUUUCCUUCUCCCUCUCCUCCUUCCUUUCCCCCUCCUAGUAGGACUAGGAAAAGGGGAGUCCUACUCCUACUAGGAGGAGGAUUCCUCCUCUCCUGGCAUGCCCCAAGGGCCGGCUGGCCUCCCCCCUUGCUCCUUUAUAUACAGGGGCAGGGGGCACCCUAGAACACACAAGUUGAUCAUUGAUCUCUUAGCUGUGUGCGGUGCUCCCUCCACCAUAAUCCACCUCGGUCAUAUCGUCGUAGUGCUUAGGCGAAGCCCUACGCCGGUAGCUUGGUCAUCACCGUCAUCACACCGUCGUGCUGACGAAGCUCUCCCUCGACGCUCAGCUAGAUAGAGAGUUCGUGGAACGUCACUGAGUCGAACGUGUGCAGAUCGCGGAGGUCCCGUACUUUUGGUACUAGGAUCGGUCGGAUCGUGAAGACUGACGACUACAUAAACCGCGUUGUCAUAACGCUUCCGCUUACGGUCUACGAGGGUACGUGGACAACACUCUUCCUCUCUCGUUGAUAUGCAUCACCAUGUUAGAUCUUGCGUGUGCGUAGGUUUUUUUGAAAUUACCGCGUUCCCCAACAACCAGUAGUCGGGCUCACAUAGGUGUGUUCCUCCAAAGAAUGCUCUGUAGGUUAGCAUCUUGCUUACAUAAGCUUUGGAACACAUUAAGACAAAAGUCAGCGUGCCUUACAAAAUUGAGAGUAUUAUUGCAUCUCCAAUAGAGUGGGUUAGGUAAGGAUAUGUUGUGGAUAUUACUACUGGACGUAAACCGGCCAGGAGUAGCCAUAUUAACUCCAAGAAGAUCAGAAGCCCAUGAAGAUGUAAGGAUGGUGGCGCUUUACGAAGGCCCGAGGCCCAAAGGCGAAUUAAGGCCCAUAGAUGUAUACCGACUUUCUCAUGUAACUUGCAUUGUAAGAUAGGAAGGAUAAAGACCGAGCCGGACACGUUUAUGAUCCGGCCUCGGGACUCUGUAAACCGGCGGGCGUCAACCUAUGUAUAUAAAGGGACGACCCGACAGUGGUUCAGGGACAAUAGACAACAACUCGACAGCCAGGCAAAGCGGAUUCGCUCCCUGGACAUUGAAACCCCAGCAAUACCAAGCACAACUAGACGUAGGCUUUUACCUUCAUUGAAGGGGCCGAACUAGUAUAAAACCCCUCGUGUCCCUUGUCCGGUUUAACCACUUUAAGCUAAACCAUAGCGAUGGCUCCACGACUAAUUCCUUUCCCGAGGACAUCUGCCGUGACAAACCCACAACAGUUGGCGCCCACCAUGGGGAUAUCGCACGAUGGUUUCAAGUUCUUGAAGGGCAGCUUCGAAGGACUCAAGGGAUACGCUGUGGGCCAGAUGAUGAAGAGUCGUCGCGGCAAGCUCUACAUCGACGACGUAGGAUGGGGUCCCGAGGCUGGUUUAGUUGAAUACGGGUACCAGGUCCCCUUUGGCGGAAUUCAUGUCUUCAUCGGCAAGAUCGGCGAACCGGGCCCUGAGCCGGACACCUGCACCGACAUCAUCGAGACGGCUCAGCGUGCAAGCCCUACCCCGGUUCAGCCCGCGCGAAGGCAUGUUUUCGUAGGUGUCAUCCAUGGAGUGGAAUAUGAGGAUGGACCGACAUCUGAUGGGGAGGCUGUUGUCCAUUCUGAUGACGAGUCUUCAACCGGAGAAACCGAGUCACUGUACCAGCUGCAGGACGGACGGAUUAGUGGGAGUUUUGAUGGCAAAAGUAUUCCGGACCCCCUCGAUCUGCCAAGCCGGGUCACGGUCUUCAUGUCCGGUACACAACCAGCGCAGCACUCUUCUACCGCCACGGCGAUGUUCUCCGAUUCAGCAACGGCAACGCCAGCAGGAGUAGGGGGCUCUGCGCCGCCUCCCGCUCAGGUUUUGUCUGAUUUGUUCGACACUUUGGCAACAUUAAUGGCCGCAGAGGUGGACGCGGCAGCCCGGGAUCAGCACAAUGCGGAGAUUACAAAGGUGAAGGAUCAGAUAACUCAGGCUAAAGUGGACCUGGAAGUAGAGAAUGCCAGGAUGGCUGCAGAACGGGCCGAGUUGGAAGCUUAGGCCUACCGGCUUAGGUUGGACCAGAAUGCCUCGGAUGAGGUCAUGAGAAGGAGAUACCGGCACACCUCCCGCCGGGUUAUGAGCCGAGAAAUCUCUUCAACACGCCAGGAGCCGAAACUAGUAACCAGCCAGUGGUAAACCGGACGGAGGUGCCGGGAACAGGAGCGCCGGUUCAGCCGUGCAUGAUGAACCCGCCUCGUUAGAACAACGUUGUGCCGCAGUAUGUUCCGACGCCCCCGGGGCAUUACUCCAACCCGUUGGAUAACAUUGUGGCCGCCGCUUCACGGUUGGCAGCCCUCCCAACUGACGGCGAGUCACCAGUGGCGAUUGAGACACGACGGGCCAGAGAGCUCCUUCAAAUAGCUUUAAACUAGCAGCAGGCUUAUUCGCAUAGUCGCGAGAGGAUUCAUUCUACCCCCUGUCCAAGUCGGAGCUACAGCAGGCACAUUGAGGAUGAACCGACCGUGUCAAGCAGCGCACAUCACCGUAACUCGCCGCGAGGACAUAACCCAGCAGGUGGUGGUGCUAAUGCGCAGGGUGUGGUGGAUCAUGGCCAUGCACGUCAAGAAGCCGAGUUAGCGGCUCUGCACGCCGCUCGUCAACCUACUCCGGCUCGCCCUACCACCUCGGUGGAGCCCGACAUAGUCUUCAGUUCUUUAAGGGUGCCGUGUCUUACCCCUGCUUUGCGUAAUGUACGACUGCCCAAGGAUUUUAAAGGUCCUCGUAAGGUGGGCCAAUUACACCGCCGAUUUACAACCGGAAUCAUGGGUGGAGAGUUAUGAGAUGGCGAUGGAGAUGCUGGACGUGGAUGAAGCGGUGUGUGCAAAAUACUUCACCAUGAUGUUGGAGGGGACAGCUCGAACUUGGUUAAAGAGCUUACCAGUUAACUCUGCCGGGUCAUGGGCUGAGCUAAAGCACCGGUUUAUCCAGAAUUUCAAAGAUACAUGUAAGCAGCCUAUGUCAAUUGUGGACCUAGCCGCUUCUGUUCAAGAGGAGGGGGAGUCUACUACGCAUUGGGUGAAGCGAGUCUCAGCUAUUUUGCAUUCAUCAGACCGCAUUAAUGCAGAUACAACAGUUUUGAUGUUGGAAGGCAACUGCCGGUUUAUGCCAUUAAAAUUGAAGCUAUGGAGGCUCAAGCGUCACUGCAAUGAGAUGUCAACUCUUAUGGCUGCUUUGGUGAAAUACGCCGAUUCAGAUAGUACUAAAGACCCUGAGUCUGAGGAUGACAAACCGGGGAAAGGGAAAAAUAACGACAAUACCGAGGGGCAACAGCACAAUCUGGCAGGUCAUGGGAAUAAUGGCAAGCGCAAGGCAGACAAUAGUUUGGACUCUGUGGCUAACACCAAUGCUCAGGACAACGGUCAGCGUCGUAAGGGUAAACAGCCUCAGAGGGGCGGAGGGUCAGGCCCCAAUCUGGAGCGCCUGUUAAAUCAGCCUUGUCCAAAGCACAGAUCGAAGGAAAGGCCAGCUUCACAUCUUUGGAAGGAUUGUUUCAUUAUGCGGGAGUUUAAGAAUUAUAUGUUUCAAUAUGACAAUGGCCCGCCCGGCGGUUCAGGAGGCGGUUUUCAUGGGCCGGGUUACGGAGGUGGCAGCUCCGGUUUAGGAUUCCAAGGCAACCAAACCGGCAUGGCCAUCAAGGGAACCAGGGCAAUCAAGGAGGUUAUAACCAUCAAGGGAAUCAAUAGCAGCAACAGUCGGGUUAUCGAGCAAUCCGAAGCAGUUUAAUAGUGGGCAGUAUCAUGUCUUUACCACUAGCUUGUGUAAACGCGAUCAGAAGCUUCACAAGAGGGCAGUAUACUCUGUUGAACCGGCGGUGCCUCAGUAUCUGCGCUGGUCUGAGCAGCCCAUUUUAUGGAGUAGAGAGGAUCACCCACCCCAGGUUGAUAAUCCGGGUCAUGUGGCCUUAGUGGUGGCACCUCAGGUUGGGGGGAUAAGUUCACCAAGUUGCUUAUGGAUGGGGGAAGCAGUAUCAAUAUUCUUUACUAUGGUACCUUCCGCUGUAUGGGGUUGACAGAUAAGAAUCUUAAACCGUUGAACACCAUUUUUCAUGGUGUGGUGCCCGGUAAGUCUGCGUAUCCAGUGAGCAAGAUAGCCCUAGAGGUGGCCUUUGGAGAUGAUCAUGAUUCAAGGUUAGAAACAUUGACUUUUGAGGUGGUGAAAAUCAAGAGUUCGUAUCACGCCCUGUUUGGGUGACCGGCUUAUGCCAAGUUCAUGGCGAGGCCGUGUUAUGUUUAUCUGCAGCUUAAGAUGCUAGGUCAUAAGGGGACCAUCACAAUACAUGGGAGCAGGAAGAUUGCUUUGGAAUGUGAGGAAGGUGAUGCGGCUUACGCUGAGUCGGUUUGUGCCACAGAAGAGCGGAAGUUUUAUAAAGACAAGGUUGAUCCGACAGACAUGACUUCUUUGAAAAAGCCAACUACGGAGCACGAUCCGGCGUUGAAGUUUAAAUCGGCCACAGACACUAAGAUGGUUGAUUUUGUUCCUGGCGAUUCAUCCAAGCAGUUCAGCAUCAGCACUAACCUGGAUCCCAAAUAGGAAAGCGCGCUCAUCGAGUUCAUCCAUGAGAACCAGGACAUCUUUGCUUGGAAGCUUCUGACAUGCCAGGUGUAUCGAGGGAACUCGCUAAGCACACACUUAAUAUAGAUCCUAAGUUUAAACCGGUCAGGCAGUUUGUCCGCCGCUUCAACAAAGAAAGGCGUAAAGCUAUUGGUGAGGAGGUAGCUCGGCUGUUGGCCGCAGGGUUUAUCGUGGAAGUUUUUCACCCUAAGUGGUUAGCUAAUCCAGCGCUGGUUCGUUAGAAAAAUGGCAAUUGGCGUAUGUGUGUGGACUACAUAGAUUUGAACAAAGCUUGUCGAGGGAGUCCUGGAUUAGGGGUGUAUCCGGACAGCCGGACUAUAUCCUUUGGCCGGAUUGUUGGACUAUGAAGAUACAAGAUUGAAGACUUCGUUCCGUGUCCGGAUGGAACUCUCCGUGGCGUGGAAGGCAAGCUUGGCAAUACGGAUAUGUAGAUCUCCUUCCUUGUAACCGACUCUGUGUAACCCUAGCCCCCUCCGGUGUCUAUAUAAACCGGAGGGUUUAGUCCGUAGGACCAACAACAACAAUCAUACCAUAGGCUAGCUUUUAGGGUUUAGCCUCUUCGAUCUCGUGGUAGAUCAACUCUUGUACGACUCAUAUUAUCAAGAACAAUCAAGCAGGACGUAGGGUAUUACCUCCAUCAAGAGGGCCCGAACCUGGGUAAACAUCGUGUCCCCUGCCUCCUGUUACCAUCCGCCUAGACACACAGUUCGGGACCCCCUACCCGAGAUCCGCCGGUUUUGACACCGACAUUGGUGCUUUCUUUGAGAGUUCCUCUGUGUCGUCGUCGUUAGGCUUGAUGGAUCCUUCGAUCAUCGAUAGCGAUGCAGUCCAGGGUGAAACUUUUCUCCCCGGACAGAUCUUUGUAUUCGGCGGCUUCGCACUGCGAGCCAACUCGCUUGGCCAUCUAGAGCAGAUUGAGAGUUAUGCCCUUGGCCACCAGGUCAGGUUUGGAAGCUUAAACUACACGACCGACAUCCGCGGAGACUUGAUCUUCGACGGAUUCGAGCCCCUGCCGAGUGCGCCGCACGGUCACGAUGGGCAUGAUUUAGCUCUACCUUCGGACAGUGUUCAGGAGACCGCACCGGCAAAUGCUCCGACCCUCAAUUUGGAGCCAAUUGUGCCAUCCAUGGAUGGGUGGAUAGACCCGACCACGAGGGCCGUAUUCUCAGCAGCGAUCGAGCCAAGUAUCGACCUUACCCUUCACAGGAGCCAUGACGCCGAACUGCCGGAUUCUUCCUCGGCCACGGACUCCGAACCACCUGCGCCUGUGCCUAUCGAAUUCGACUGGGCGCCGAUCAUGGAGUUCACCUCCGCGGAUAUCUUUCAGCACUCGCCCUUCAGCGACAUACUGAGCUCAUUAAGGUCUCUUUCCUUGUCAGGAGAGUCCUGGCCGAACUAUGUCAGGCAGGAUUGGGAUGCGGAUGAUGAAGAAAUUCGCCGCCCACCCACCACCCACUUAGUAGCCACUGUCGACGAUUUAACAGACACGCUUGACUUCGACUCUGAAGACAUCGACGGUAUGGAUGACGAUGCAGGGGACGAACAGGAACCACUACCCACAGGGCACUGGACAGCCACCUCAUCAUAUGAUAUAUACAUGGUGGACACACCCAAAGAAGGCAAUGGCGACGGGACAACGGAGGAUGACCCCUCCAAGAAGCAACCCAAGCACCGACGACAGCGGCGCCGCUCUAAGUCUUGCCAAAGCAAAAGCGGUGAUAUCGGCACAGCAGAUAAUAGCACUCCGGACAGUGCCGAAGAUGACGACAAUCCCCUCUAGCAAGAUUUAGAGCAGGAGGACGGAGAAGCCAGCCCUCCCGAGAGAGCGGCAGAUGGAGAGGCAAAGGAUGAUAAUUACAUGCCUCCCUCCGAAGACGAGGCAAGCCUCGACGAUGACGAAUUUGUCAUGCCUAAGGAUCCCGUCGAGCAAGAGCGCUUCAAACGCCGACUUAUAGCCACGGCAAAUAGCCUUAUAAGAAAAAGCAACAACAGCUUCAAGCUGAUCAAGAUUUGCUAGCUGACAGAUGGAUUGAAGUCCUUGCGGCCGAGGAAUAUGAACUCGAACGCCCCUCCAAGAGUUACCCAAAGCGCAGGUUGCUACCCCGACUGGAGGAGGAAGCAUUAAAACCUACAUCUCCAGCAUAUGACGCGGCUGAUCGGCCACCUCGUGGCCGCGACAGAGAGGCAUUUCAGCCAAACGCUCAGCCCGCACCCCGACGCCACUCAAAUAAAAAUGUCAAGGCAUGGGGAAACACGCUAGACCCGCGAGACGUAUUGGAGGACAAAGCGAAACACGCAAUAUCGAUCUAUGGAUCACGAGGGCACGCCACUACGCGAGACGAUAACCGUCACGCCGGAUACAGUAAAAGUAAAUCCUGCCAGGCCGAACACAGCGGACAAGACUCAUUUGAACUGCGUCACGAUAUAGCUCAGUACAGAGGCGCCGCACACCCCCUAUGCUUCACAGACGAAGUAAUGGAUCACCAAAUCCUAGAGGGUUUCAAACCCGUAAAUAUUGAAUCAUACGACGGUACAACAGAUCCCGCGGUAUGGAUCGAGGACUUCCUCCUGCACAUCCACAUGGCCCGCGGUGAUGAUCUACACGCCAUCAAGUACCUCCCACUCAAACUCAAAGGACCAGCUCGGCAUUGGCUCAACAGCCUGCCAACAGAAUCCAUUGGCUGUUGGGAAGAUCUGGAAGCCGCAUUCCUCGACAACUUCCAGGCCACUUAUGUGUGACCACCAGAUGCCGAUGACUUGAGCCACAUAAUUCAGCAGCCAGAGGAAUCGGCCAGGCAAUUCUGGACACGGUUCCUGACAAAGAUAAAUCAAAUUGUCGACUGUCCGGAUGCAGAGGCCCUAGCAGCUUUUAAGCACAACAUCCGCGAUGAGUGGCUCGGCCGGCACCUUGGCCAGGAAAAGCCAAAAUCUAUGGCAGCCCUCACGACACUCAUGACCCGCUUUUGCACGCGAGAGGACAGCUGGCUGGCUCGCAGCAAUAAUAUAUCAAAGAACCAUGGUACUUCGGAUACCAAGGAUAGCAAUGGCAGGUCACGUCGCAACAAACACAAGCGCCGCAUCAACAGCGACAAUACCGAAGAUACAACACUCAAUGCCGGAUUCAGAGGCUCUAAAUCCGGUCAGCGGAAAAAGCCAUUCAAAAGAAGCACCCCGGGCCCGUCCAGUUUGGACCGUAUACUCGAUCGCUCGUGUCAAAUACACGGCACCCCCGACAAGCCAGCCAACCACACCAACAGGGAAUGUUGGGUGUUUAAGUAGGCCGGAAAGUUAAAUGUUGAAAACAAAGAUAAGGGGUUACAUAGCAAAGACGAGGAGGAGCCCCGGCCGCCGAACACUGGAGGACAGAAGAGGUUCCCCCCACAAGUGCGGACGGUGAACAUGAUAUACGCAACCCACAUCCCCAAGAGGGAGCGGAAGCGUGCACUAAGGGACGUAUAUGCGUUGGAGCCAGUCACCCCAAAGUUCAACCCAUGGUCCUCCUGUCCGAUCACCUUCGAUCGCAGGGACCACCCCACUAGUAUCCGUCAUGGCAGAUUCGCCGCACUGGUCCUAGAACCAAUCAUCGAUGAAUUUCACCUCACUCGAGUCCUUAUUGAUGGAGGCAGCAGCCUGAACCUGCUUUAUCAGCACACAGUGCGCAAAAUGGGUAUAGACCCCUCAAGGAUCAAACCCACAAAAACGGCCUUCAAAGGCGUCAUACCAGGUGUAGAGGCCCAUUGCACAGGCUCAGUCACACUGGAAGUGGUCUUCAGAUAACUUCCGAAGCGAGGAGUUAAUCUUUGAUAUAGUCCCGUUCCGGAGUGGCUAUCAUGCACUGCUCGGGCGAACCGCAUUUGCGAGAUUCAAUGUGGUACCGCAUUAUGCAUACCUCAAGCUCAAGAUGCCAGGACCUCGGGGGGUCAUCACAGUCAAUGGAAACAUAGAGCGCACUCUCCGCACGGAGGAGCACACUACAGCCCUCGCAGCAGAAGCACAAAGCAGCCUCUUCAGGCAAUCCACCAGUUCGGUGAUUAAACACUCGGACACUGUCAAGCGCGCCCGGAGUAAUCUGCAACAAGACCGCCUGGCACGCUCCGAGCUCGCAUAGCAAUGCGGCCCCCACCCCAGUCCCCGCCAAACGGUGAAAUCUGUGCCAUGCGUACAUAAUUACGCAUUGAAAAUACCAUGGGCAUAGGUGGGGGGCACGACUAAGGCACGCCCCAAAACGCGGCUCAACUGCACUAGGGGCUUCCCGCCUUAUUAUUUUUUCUCUCUUUCAGGACUUUACUCUCUGGAAACCCCGUCCGGCAGUAUGAUUGUCGGGCACACGAUACGACAACCAAGGAGGCAGAAAGCUACGUCGCAUCAUGGAAUUCCCAGGUCGUCUGUGAUAAUGAGUGAAAUACCUGCUUUAAAUACCAUUCCACAGCUUUCCCUUGGAGGGGACAAGUCAAAUAGUCCUAGUUUUUUUUCUUAUCGCACUACUUGUAUCAUUCUGCUUCGACGCACCUUUUUGAGUAAACAAUGCAUAGCACUAAACUAUUACCGCAUUCUCUAUUCUUAUAUAUAUAUAUAUAUAUGUUCAUUCAUGACAUUCAGCAUCCAUACACUCUGGUACGGCCAAUACGCCAGGGGCUUAAGCAUACCCCAUAAUACGGCGUGAGAAGUCCAAACACUUUCGACAGUGCGGCACCCCGAACUUAUAGCAUUAUAUGCAUCAGCUCCGAAUCAUGUCUUGGGUUAAUAGUUGGGUUUGCCCGGCUCCCAUGUUUUGGUACCUUAUGUUCCGCUACAUCGGCUAAGGUAGCACUGGGAGAAGUACUGCGAUUGUGCCCCGGUUCAUCUGGGAAAGCACCUCAGUAGAGAAAGCUAAAACUGACUGUCAUGAUAAGGAGAGAGUUGGUCCUUGUUCGAGAGGUCUCGAGUCCCUAAAGACUUAUGCCGCUUAGGGCGAGGAGUCGGCUUUGUCCGGCUUAGGCGUGUACAGCGCCCCGAAUUCGGCCUUCCGAAUACUAGGGGCUUCGCCAAAAUUUAAAAUUGUAGACUUCUAUGGCUAAGUGAGAGUGAUAAAGCAUUAUAGUUUGAUUGCCUUGUUCGUUGCGCUGAGCACCUCCCUCGAAGGACCCAACAAUGGGAAAAAGAGUGCUCAGAUUUAUCCCGAACACCCCAGCACUCGUGGCAUGGGGGCAGAAGCCGACGACUGGCCAUCUCUCAGAUUUGAUAAACAGCCGCACAGAAUGUAAUAUUUUAAAUUCAAACAAGCGUUGCAUAGCGCACAUGAACAAGUUUUCAUAAUACAGGAUCACACGAGCAAGUUCAUUCAAAAAUUACAUUCUUCGCACACUCGUCCACCACAAGACAGGCACCCUUCAGGACACCCUCAUAAUACAUCUCAGGGUGGUGAUGCUCCUUGCCCUGCGGCGGCCCCUCCUUCACCAUCUUCUCGGCGUCCAUAUUGGCCCAGUGCACCUUCGCAUAGGCAAAAGCCCAGCGUGCACCUUCGAUGCAGACAGACCGCUUUAUGACUUCCAGCCGUGGGCAGGCAUCCACAAGCCGCCUCACCAGGCCGAAGUAGCUGUUGGGAAGGGAGUCGCCAGGCCACAUCCGGCUAUAAGGCCCCUCAUGGCCUGUUCGGCUGCCUUGUGCAGCUCGACCAGUUGCUUCAACUGGUCGCUCACAGGCAUCGGGUGUUCGGUCCCAGUAUACUGAGACCAGAACAACUUCUCCGUCGAGCUUCCCUCCUCAGCCUGGUAGUUCUUUGCGGCAUCUGACACGCUGCGGGGCAAAUAUGUGAAUGCUCCUAGAGAGCUCCGGAUUCGGGUAAGUAACAAGUAAUUUACUUUCAUAUACUUGCUUUGCAUAAUGAAUGCCUUACCCACCGCUAUCUUCCUCAUCGCCUCAAUUUCCUGGAGGGCCUUUUGGGCUUCAGCCUUGGCAUGCUUUGUCCUCUCGAGGGCCACGGCAAGCUCGGACUCUCGCGUCUUCGAGUCAAGCUCCAAAGUCUCAUGCUUCUUCACGAGAGCCUGGAGCUCUUGCUGCACCUCGCCCACCCGUGCCUCUUGUUUUUACCGCUCGGUGCGCUCCUUGGCCGCUUUGUUUUCGGUCUCGGACAAUGCUUGCUUCAUGGUCGCCACUUCGGUCAUGGCCCCUGGCACAUCCAUGAUGAUCCUAUCAUGAAUGCUCCUAGACAAGGCAUUACUUACCUUUGUUCUCCUCGAGCUGCCUCUUGUCAAGGCGGAGCUCUAUCUCGGACCGCUCGAGGUUCUGCUUCAAUGCAGCGACCUCUGCAGUCAGUGCGGCAGAGGUGAGUAGCGAAGCCUGCAUACACAUAUAGACAUACUUGUAUUAGACUCCUGCAGAUAUUAUUUGAUCCUCUAUUCGGAUUUUCUUUGUGAACACCAAACAGAGCAUCAGGGGCUACUAUCUAUGCGGUAAUAUUUCCCUAUAUUUCAAAUACUUACCUUAAAGCCUGUUAGAAGGCUGGCAUAGGCUUCAGUCAAUCCGCUCUUGGCGGACUGGACCUUCUUGAUCACCACACUCAUAACAGUGCGGUGCUCGUCGUUGAUGGAAGCGCCGCGAAGCGCUCCCAGCAGGUUGUCUGGUGCCUCUGGAUGGACAGAGGUCACCUGCACGGGCGGCUUGCCCCUCUUGGAAGGGGGCUGCCUGCCGGAGUCUGGAACCACUGGAGGUUCCGAUGCGGUGUUUGGCUGAGGGCCAAACUCGGAGCCCUUGGGAGUCUUGCUCCCUUUGCGCCUGGAGUCCGGAAGGUCGCCUUGAGGCGCCUCCGGGACUAUCUCCCCCCGGCUCGGUGCCCCUUGAGACAAUACCUAGACAUUGUGCAUAGGGCAAGGAGAGGAGGCGGUUCGAAGUGUAUCACUAUUCAUACCGACGAGUCCAAGGAACCGUCCGACGAGGAUACGUCGAUACGGGCUCGGGGCGUACUGCAUGAUCAUAUUCGACGUUAGGAGAAGUAGUGCAAUAAAAGUAUGCUAUGAGUUACUCUGGUAUCCGAAUACUUACAACUUCGCCAGGGGCUUGGCCCUGAGUGACCACUCGUCUUCGCUGCCGGCGGCGGUGGUGGAACAAUCCGGAAGAAGAGUCCUUCCCUUCUUGGACCCUUCGGCCUCCCCGGUUGGGGCGGCCUUCCUUUUCUUUUCUCCCCCGGCUGGAGGGGGAGAAUCUUCAUCUUCCUCCUCCUCGUUUUUACGAGAGGAUGAUACGUCUCCAAUGUAUCUAUAAUUUUUUAUUGCUCCAUGCUAUAUUAUCUACUGUUUUGAAUGUUUAUGGGCUUUAUUAUACACUUUUAUAUCAUUUUUGGGACUAACCUAUUAACCCAGAGCCCAUUGCCAGUUUUUGUUUUUACCCUGCUUUAGGGUUUCGAAGAAAAGGAAAAUCAAACGGAGUCCAAUUGACCUGAAACUUCACGGAACUCAUUUUUGGAAGGAAAGAAGCCCAAAAGACUUGGAGUGCACGUCAGGGGACCUGCGAGGAGGUCACGAGGUAGGGGGGCGCGCCCACCCCCCUGGGCGCGCCCUCCACCCUCGUGAUCCCCUCGUGCCCCCCCUAACAUACUUCUGCCGCCUAUAUAUCUCCAUACACCCUAAAAACAUCCAGGAGCACAAUAGAUCGGGAGUUCCGCCGCCAGAAGCCUCCGUAGCCACUGAAAGCCAAUCUAGACCCAUUUCGGCACCCUGCCGGAGGGGGCAAUCCCUCUCUGGUGGCCAUCUUCAUCAUCCCGGUGCUCUCCAUGACGAGGAGGGAGUAGUUCUCCCUCGGGGCUGAGGGUAUGUACCAGUAGCUAUGUGUUUGAUCUCUCUCUCUCUCUCUCUCUCUCUCUCUCUCUCUCGUGUUUUUGAGGUGAUACGAUCUUGAUGUAUCGCGAGCUUUGCUAUUAUAGUUGGAUCCUAUGUUUCUCCUCCCCCUCUUCUCUCUUGUAAUGAAUUGAGUUUUCCCUUUGAAGUAAUCUUACCGGAUUGAGUCUUUAAAUAUUUGAGAACACUUGAUGUAUGUCUUGUCGUGGAUAUCUGUGGUGACAAUGGGAUAUCACGUGAUUCACUUGAUGUAUGUUUUGGUGAUCAACUUGCGGGUUCCUCCCAUGAACCUAUGCAUAGGGGUUAGCACACGUUUUCAUCGUGAUUCUCCGGUAGAACUUUGGGGCACUCUUUGAGGUUCUAUGUGUUGGUUGAAUAGAUGAAUCUGAGAUUGUGUGAUGCAUAUUGUAUAAUCAUACCCACGGAUACUUGAGGUGACAUUGGAGUAUCUAGGUGACAUUAGGGUUUUGGUUGAUUUGUGUCUUAAGGUGUUAUUCUAGUACGAACUCUAGGGCUGUUUGUGACACUUAUAGGAAUAGCCCAACGGAUUGAUUGGAAAGAAUAACUUUGAGGUGGUUUCGUACCCUACCAUAAUCUCUUUGUUCAUUCUCCACUAUUAGUGACUUUGGAGUGACUCUUUGUUGCAUGCUGAGGGAUAGCUAUAUGAUCCAAUUAUGAUAUUAUUGUUGAGAGGACUUACACUAGUGAAAGUAUGAACCCUAGGUCUUGUUUCAACGCAUUGCAAUACCGUUUACGCUUACUUUUAUCAUUAGUUACCUUGCUGUUUUUAUAAUUUCAGUUUACAAAUACUAUUAUCUACUAUCCAUAUUGCACUUGUAUCACCAUCUCUUCGCCGAACUAGUGCACCUAUACAAUUUACCAUUGUAUUGGGUGUGUUGGGGACACAAGAGACUCUUUGUUAUUUGGUUGCAGGGUUGCUUGAGAGAGACCAUCUUCAUCCUACGCCUCCUACGGAUUGAUAAACCUUAGGUCAUCCACUUGAGGGAAAUUUGCUACUGUCCUACAAACCUCUGCACUUGGAAGCCCAACAACGUCUACAAUAAGAAGGUUGUGUAGUAGACAUCAAGCUCUUUUCUGGCGCCGUUGCCGGGGAGUCUACGCAAAAAGUCAACAUACCAAGUACACAUCACAAUCCCUAUCUCUCGCAUUACAUUAUUUGCCAUUUGCCUCUCGUUUUCCACUCCUCCACUUCACCCUUGCCUUUUUAUUCGCCCUCUCUCUCUCUCUAUCCACCCUCUCUUUUUUUGUUUGCCUCUUUUCACUCGCCAUGUCAGAACCAAAAAGAAUUGGGGGUUCUCUUCCAAGUUCUAGUGCUUUAGACAAUCAUGCUAUCUUAUCUAAACUCGUAAAUCGGAAUGCUAUGGAACAACUUGCCGGAGUUAUCAAUGAGAACCUUAGUAAUUUUGAUGAAGAUGAUUCUAGAAUUUUUCGUUGUUUACUUGAUGAAUCUUUGAAAGAUGCUUGGGAUAGGCUAUUAAGGAUCCGGGCUAGCUAUGUACCCCAAUAUCAAAUUGACAUUUACUUAAAAAGCUUUUAUGUUGGGCUACCCGCUUCGUUCAAACAAGUUUUAGAUUCUAUUUUCGAGGGGGGUUUUCUUGAAGGGGACCCCAUAGAUACCUAUGAGAUGAUGAAAACUAUAUUUGGGCACCCCAUUAAUGAGAAAGCUGAAAUCACAUCUCUCUUGCUUUCUUACCAAAACGGAUCUAUUAAAGAGAUAAAAGCUAGCCUAGAUGCCAAUUUCCGCAACAUUCUUAAUCUUUCUUCUACCAUUAAUGGACAUGUACUUUUCCAAAAUAGAAAGAUUAAUUCCAUAGAUAACAAGUUUGCUCUCUUUUUCUCUAAAACCAAACAUGGCAAUACCUAGAUCUAUCCUCGUUUUUAUGCCUAGCCAGGGGCGUUAAACGAUAGCGCUUGUUGGGAGGCAACCCAAUUUUAUUUUAGUUCCUUGCUUUUUGUUCCUGUUUAAUAAUAAAUAAUCCAUCUAGCCUCCGUUUAUAUGUGGUUUUAUGUGUUUAAUUAGUGUUUGUGCCAAGUAGAACCUUUGGGAAGACUCGGGAAAAGUCUUGUUGAUCAUGCUGUAAAAAACAGAAACUUUAGCGCUCACGAUAAUUACUGCCAUUUUUAUUUGGAGAGUGCUAUUUAGUUAAUUCUUUUUGAAGAUGAUUAAUAUAUAAAUUCCUCAGGUCCACCAAUUUAUUUGAGAAUUUUAUGAGUUCCAUAAGUAUACGUUUGAUCCAGAUUACUACAGACUGAUCUGUUUUUGACAGAUUCUGUUUUUCAUGUGUUGUUUACUUAUUUUGAUGAAUCUCUGGCUAGUAAAAUAGUUUAUAAACUAUAUAGAAGUUGGAAUACAGUAGGUUUAACACCAAUAUAAAUAAAUAAUGAGUUCAUUACAGUACCUUGAAGUGGUGAUUUAUUUUAUACUAACGGAGCUUACGAGUUUUCUGUUAAGUUUUGUGUUGUGAAGUUUUCAAGUUUUGGGUAAGGAUUCGAUGGACUAUGGAAUAAGGAGUGGCAAGAGCCUAAGCUUGGGGAUGCCCAUGACACCCCAAGGUAAUAUUCAAGUACAAACAAGAGCCUAAGCUUGGGGAUGCCCCGGAAGGCAUCCCCUCCUUCGUCUUCGUUCAUCGGUAACUUUACUUGGAGCUAUAUUCACCACAUGAUAUGUGUUUUGCUUGGAGCGUCAAUUUAUUUUAUUAGGAUUUUCUUGAUGUUAUUUAUAAAAAUGUUUUGCAUCUUUUAUUUCAAUAAAAGUGGCAUUGAUAGCCUUUACUAUGCCUAUGUUACAAGUACACAUGUUGCUGUUUGAAAACAGAAAGUUUACCACUGUUGCAAUAAUUCCCUAGAAAAGUCAGAAUGUGAUAAAAUGUUGAAACCUUUUGCAUAUUAAGAUCUGAUAAAUUUACUACAGUGGUAAUUUUCUUUCGUAAUUUUUGGAGCUAGGUAAGUAUGGAUGUUGCUGCAUUCUUUACAGACUAUCCUGUUUAGGCAGAUUGCUGUUAUGUUUGCAUUGUUUGCAUAUGUUUGCUUCUUUAAUGAUUCUAUUUGAGGAUAGAACUAUUAAAUAUGCAGAGUAAUUUAGUAUGCAAUGUUGAAUAAUAAUUUUAGUGAUUUGCUACAGUAGAGUAUGAUAAGGUUUUUGCAAUGGUUUAUACUAACUUAUCUCACGAGUCCUUUUUGAGUUUUGUGUGGAUGAAGCUUUUGAGAUUUAGGGAGACCGUGAUAUGAGAGGAAUUAAGGAGACACAAAAGCUCAAGAUUGGGGAUGCCCAAGGCACCCAAAGAUAAUAUUUCAAUAAGUAUCAAGCAUCUAAGCUUGGGGAUGCCCCGGUUGGCAUCCCACCUUUCUUCUUCAACAAUUAUCGGUUAGUAUCGGUUGAUCCUAAGUUUUUGCUUCUUCACAUGAUGUAUGAUAUUCUUAGAUGUCAUUUUAUUUAGUUUUGCUUGCUGUUUGAAUAAAGUAUCAAGGUAUGAAAUUAUUGAAUGGGAGAGUCUUCACAUAGUAGCACAAUUAUUCAACUACUCAUUGAUCUUCACUUAUAUCUUUCGGAGUAGUUUGUCAUUUGCUCUAGUGCUUCACUUAUAUAUUUUAGAGCAUGGUGGAAGUUUUAUUUUGAAGAAAUAGAUGAACUCUCAUGCUUCACUUAGAUUAUUUUGAGAGUCUUAAAUAGCAUGGUAAUUUUCUUGAAAUCCUAAUAUGCUAGGUAUUCAAGAAUAAUAAAAUUCUCUUAUGAGUGUGUUGAAUACUAUGAGAAGUUUGAUACUUGAUAAUUCUUUUGAGAUAUGAGGAUGGUAAUAUUAGAGUCAUGCUAGUUGAGUAGUUGUGAAUUUGAGAAAUACUUGUGUUGAAGUUUGUGAUUCCCGUAACAUGCACGUAUGGUGAACCGUUAUGUGAUGAAGUCGGAGCAUGAUUUAUUUAUUGAUUGUCCUCCUUAUGAGUGGUGGUCGGGGACCAGCGAUGGUCUUUUCCUACCAAUCUAUCCCCCUAGGAGCAUGCACGUAGUACUUUGUUUAGAUAACUAAUGGAUUUUUGCAAUAAGUAUGUGAGUUCUUUAUGACUAAUGUUGAGUCCAUGGAUUAUACGCACUCUCACCCUUCCACCUUUGCUAGCCUCUCUAAUACCGCGCAACUUUCGCCGGUACCAUAAACCCACCAUACACCUUCCUCAAAACAGCCACCAUACCUACCUAUUAUGGCAUUUCCAUAGCCAUUCCGAGAUAUAUUGCCAUGCAACUUUCCACCAUUCCAUUAUUAUGACAGGCUUCAUCAUUGUCAUAUUGCUUUGCAUGAUCAUGUAGUUGACAUCGUAUUUGUGGCAAAGCCACCGUUCAUAAUUCUUUUAUACAUGUCACUCAUGCAUCAUUGCACAUCCCGGUACACCGCCGGAGGCAUUCAUAUAGAGUCAUAUCUUGUUCUAAGUAUCGAGUUGUAAUUCUGGAGUUGUAAGAAAAAUAAAAGUGUGAUGAUCAUCAUUAUCAGAGCAUUGUCCAAGUGAGGAAAGGAUGAUGGAGACUAUUAUUCCCUCAUAAGUCGAGAUGAGGCUCCGGACGAAAAUAAAUAAAUAAAAGAGUCCAAAGAAGCCCAAAUAAAAAAAGAAGAAAAUAGGCCAUAAAAAAGAGAAAGCCCAAAUAAAAAAAUGAGAGAAAAAGAGAGAAGGGGUAAUGCUACUAUACUUUUACCACACUUGUGCUUCAAAGUAGCACCAUGAUCUUCAUAAUAGAGAGUCUCCUAUGUUGUCACUUUCAUAUACUAGUGGGAAUCUUUCAUUAUAGAACUUGCCUUGUAUAUUCCAAUGAUGGGCUUCCUCAAAAUGCCCUUGGUCUUCAUGAGCAAGCAAGUUGGAUGCACACCCACUUAGUUUCUUUUUGAGCUUUCAUAUACUUAUAGCUCUAGUGCAAUUGCAUGGAAAUCACUACUCGCUCACAUUGAUAUCUAUUGAUGGGCAUCUCCAUAGCCCGUUGAUACGCCUAGUUGAUGUGAGACUAUCUUCCCCCUUUUUGUCUUCUCCACAGCCACCACUCUAUUCCACCUAUAGUGCUAUAUCCAUGGCUCACGUUCAUGUAUUGCGUGAAGAUUGAAAAAGUUUGAGAACAUCAAAAGUAUGAAACAAUUGCUUGGCUUGUCAUCGGGGUUGUGCAUGAUUUAAAUAUUUUGUGUGGUGAAGAUAGAGCAUAGCCAGACUAUAUGAUUUUGUAGGGAUAGCUUUCUUUGGCCAUGUUAUUUUGAGAAAACAUAAUUGCUUAGUUAGUAUGCUUGAAGUAUUAUUGUUUUUAAGUCAAUAUUAAACUUUUGUCUUGAAUCUUAUGGAUCUGAAUAUUCAUACCACAAUUAAGAAGAAUUACAUUGAAAUUAUGCCAAGUAGCACUCCACAUCAAAAAUUCUGUUUUUAUCAUUUACCUACUCGAGGACGAGCAGGAAUUAAGCUUGGGGAUGCUGAUACGUCUCCAACGUAUCUAUAAUUUUUGAUUGCUCCAUGCUAUAUUAUCUACUAUUUUGAAUGUUUAUGGGCUUUAUUAUACACUUUUAUAUAAUUUUUGGGACUAACCUAUUAACCUAGAGCCCAGUGCCAGUUUCUGUUUUUACCCUGCUUUAGGGUUUCGAAGAAAAGGAAAAUAAAACGGAGUCCAAUUGACCUGAAACUUCACAGAACUCAUUUUUGAAAAGAAAGAAGCCCAGAAGACUUGGAGUGCACGUCGGGGGACCUACGAGGAGGUCACGAGGCAGGGAGGUGCGCCCUCCACCCUCGUGAGCCCCUCGUGGCACCCCUGACGUACUUCUUCCGCCUAUAUAUCUCCAUAUACCCUAAAAACAUCCAGGAGCACAAUAGAUCGGGAGUUCCACCGCCAGAAGCCUCCGUAGCCACCGAAAGCCAAUCUAGACCCAUUCCGGCACCCUACCGGAGGGGGAAAUCCCUCUCCGGUGGCCAUCUUCAUCAUCCCGGUGCUCUCCAUGAUGAGGAGGGAGUAGUUCUCCCUCGGGGCUGAGGGUAUGUACCAGUAGCUAUGUGUUUGAUCUCUCUCUCUCUCGUGUUCUUGAGGUGAUACGAUCUUGAUGUAUCGCGAGCUUUGCUAUUAUAGUUGGAUCCUAUGUUUCUCCUCCCCCUCUUCUCUCUUUUAAUGAAUUGAGUUUCCCCUUUGAAGUAAUCUUAUCGGAUUGAGUCUUUAAAGAUUUGAGAACACUUGAUGUAUGUCUUGCCGUGGAUAUCUGUGGUGACAAUGGGAUAUCACGUGAUUCACUUGAUGUAUGUUUUGGUGAUCAACUUGCGGGUUCCUCCCAUGAACCUAUGCAUAGGGGUUGGCACACAUUUUCGUCGUGAUUCUCCGGUAGAACUUUGGGGCACUCUUUGAGGUUCUAUGUGUUGGUUGAAUAGAUGAAUCUGAGAUUGUGUGAUGCAUAUCGUAUAAUCAUACCCACGGAUACUUGAGGUGACAUUGGAGUAUCUAGGUGACAAUAGGGUUUUGGUUGAUUUGUGUCUUAAGGUGUUAUUCUAGUACGAACUCUAGGGAUGUUUGUGACGCUUAUAGGAAUAGCCCAACGGAUUGAUUGGAAAGAAUAACUUUGCGGUGGUUUCGUACCCUAGCAUAAUCUCUUCGUUCGUUCUACACUAUUAGUGACUUUGGAGUGACUCUUUGUUGCAUGUUGAGGGAUAGUUAUAUGAUCCAAUUAUGUUAUUAUUGUUGAGAGGACUUACACUAGUGAAAGUAUGAACCCUAGGCCUUGUUUCAACGCAUUUCAAUACCGUUUACGCUUACUUUUAUCAUUAGUUACCUUGCUGUUUUUAUAAUUUCAGUUUACAAAUACUAUUAUAUACUAUCCAUAUUGCACUUGUAUCACCAUCUCUUCGCCGAACUAGUGCAUCUAUACAAUUUACCAUUGUAUUGGGUGUGUUGGGGACACAAGAGACUCUUUGUUAUUUGGUUGCAGGGUUGCUUGAGAGAGACCAUCUUCAUCCUACGCCUCCUACGGAUUGAUAAACCUUAGGUCAUCCACUUGAGGGAAAUUUGCUACUGUCCUACAAACCUCUGCACUUGGAGGCUCAACAACGUCUACAAGAAGAAGGUUGUGUAGUAGACAUCAGAGGAGUGUGUCUUGGAGUUAUCGGACGAUGAGUCUGAUACCACCUGGCGCCGGGAACUCUUUCGAGUUCCCGUGGCCUUCUUCUUGAUCUUCUUCUCCAUCACCCCAUAAGGAGCCAGAGUCCGCAUCUUCGUAAGGAGAGCGUCUGCAGGGUCUUCGGGCAGAGGGGUCGGACAGUCAAUCUGCUCUGAUGUCUCCACCCAGUCCUGUCAAAGGCAUGGGAGCCCAGAUCCCGCACAUGGUUAAACUAUGGAAAAUAAAUACCCUACGAGAUGUAUAGAACUUACCGGAUUUGCAGGACGCGUCGCACUUAACCCGCGAUCCUCGGUAAGGGGAGGGGAGACCUCGGCGCCCUUAAACAGCACCUUCCAGACGUUCUUAUGCGUCGUGUCGAAGAGCUCGCGUAGAGUCUGGUGCUAGGCCGGGUCGAACUCCCAUAAGUUGAAAGCCCGUUGUUGACACGGGAGGAUCCGGCGGAAGAGCAUGACCUGGACUAUGUUGACGAGCUUAAGUUUUUUCUUAUCAUGUUCCGGAUACACUUCUGGAGUCCGUCCAGCUCCACCGAUGAGCCCCAGGACAGGCCCUUCUCCUUCCAGGAAGUAAGCCGAGUGGGGAUUCCGGAUCGAAACUCGGGGGCCGCCACCCAGUUGGUGUCGCGCGGCUCGGUGAUGUAGAACCACCCCGAUUGCCACCCCUUUAUGGUCUCCACGAAGGAGCCCUCGAGCCAUGUAAUGUUGGGCAAUUUUCCCACCAUGGCUCCGCGGCAUUCCGCUUGUUGGCCGCCUACUACCUUCGGUUUCACAUUGAAGGUCUUCAGCCACAGGACGAAGUGGGGCCAGAUGCGGAGGAAAGCCUCGCACACGACGAUGAACGCCGAGAUGUUGAGGAUGAAAUUCUGGGCCAGAUCAUGGAAGUCCAGCCCAUAAUAAAACAUAAGGCCGUGGACGAAUGGCUAGAGGGGAAACGCCAGUCCGCGGACGAAGUGGGUGAGGAAAACCACCCUUUCGUGAGGUUCUGAGGUAGGGACGAUCUGCCCCGCGGCUGGCAGCUGGUGCGCGAUAUCCGCGGCUAAGUAUCCGGCCCCACGCAGCCUUUUGAUGUCUCCCUCCGUAAUGGAGGAGACCAUCCACUUGCCUCCCGCUC